RNAcentral lists this long non-coding RNA (77767 nucleotides) under Medicago truncatula (barrel medic). RNAcentral describes it as "long non-coding RNA (MTRU_LNC000201)". Lineage: Eukaryota; Viridiplantae; Streptophyta; Magnoliopsida; Fabales; Fabaceae. The record is from RNAcentral.
AAAAACCUUAAACUGUUUAAUUAUUUUAUGAGACCAUGAAACUUAUAGACUAUAAAUAUACCAAAUCAUAUACCAUUUGUUAUAUAAAAAUUAAGAGGGAAAGAUAUGGUUGAAGCUCUAAAACUUGUUAAUGUUUUAAUUCUAUUUCUUUCCAUAUUUCUAUCCAUAAUAGUAUCUACUUCUUCCUUUCCCUGGAAGCUAUAUCCAUGUGUAACAGAUAAAGAUUGUCCAAGAAAAAACAGGCAUGUUGUUAAGUGUCGUAAAGGCUAUUGUGUAGGGGUGCAGAUAAUCUGAGGGACAUCAAAGAGCUGUCCUACAAGAGAAACAGUGUUCAUCUUGAAGAUGCAGUGUCAUAUCUAUAAUGAGUUUGGGUUAUGUUGGCUUAUAAUUAUGUGUUUGCAUUAAGUUGUUUUAUCAAUAAAGUAUGUUUUGUUGAGUAUUGUCUUGUUAUGUUGGUUGCUUUGGAUAACUUGGACUUUUAUGUUGUGUUGUUUCCUUUGGGAUAUGCUUUAUGUUGUUUAUUUAGACUAAUGAAUAUCAAAAUUAUAUUGGGGUAUGUUGGUAUGGUAUUUUACUUCACGUUGUUCACUGAUUAAAUGUUUAAUUUAGUAUUCAAAUCUUUAGUACAUGCAACUCUACAUUAUUAUUUUUUCCCAAAACUAGUUAAUGUAAAAAAAUUUGGAACAACUAUUUAAACAUAUAUUUUGCAACAACUAUUUUAACAAUUCUGUGUAUAUGAACAUGUGUUUUGAAUUUUUUUCUUCUUUUACUUUUAUGAAAGUGCUCCUAUACACAUAUGACUGUCAAAAUAAUUGUUGCAAAAUAGAUGUUCAUAUAUCAUUUCUUAAAUAUAUUUUUUUUAUUGAAAGAAUAAGAAUCAUUUCUCAAAUAUUUUAAGUGCAAAAUAAAUGAAUACAAACGUAUCACACCAAUUCUAACAAAACUACAAGGAGAAUUAUUAAAUUAGAGUCAAAUACUAACACAUUGUCUACUGCAUCGCUUUGAUCAAAGACAACUAUUAUGAGCAAGGUUGAUAAAAGAGCAAGGCCAUCAAGACAAAUCACCUUAGGGUUUACAAAAAUAUAAAAAAAGUACAAUAAAAAGAUCAAAUAUUCUUCGAUUAGAUAUUAAAAAUACUUUAUCUUUAAAUUUAUCAUAUGCCCUUUUAUUGUAGAUGUUUUAUUGAGGUUGUAUUGAAGUGACACAUAGUUAAAGCUUAUGGGAUGUCGAAUGUAUAUAUGUGGCUGCACACCCUCAUUUUUAUGUGUUAACUUUUGAGAUUGAGAUCUAAGAUCUUUAAUAUAUUGUAUUAGAUAUGCAUUAAGGAUGUCUGUAUGGGGAAUGGGCUCAGAAGCCAUGCUUGACGUGAGAACGAGUAUUGAAGUUGUAUUGAAAUUUCACAUUGUCAAGAUUUUGAGACUAUUAAAUGUAUAUAUGUGAUUACACAUCCUCAUCCAAUGAACUAACUUUUGAACUUGAGAUCCAAACUCAUAUAACUCAUCCUUAUUAAUAAUUAGCUUAAAAACAAAGAAAACAAACGCCAACAUAGUUUUAGAAGAGUUGUCAAUAUGAAUCUUCAUUAGAAGAAAAAUAUCGUGGGUUAAAAAACUUUCCAAAAAGACCAUCAAUCAAUUUUAUUGGGCCACUCUAAAACGCAACUCAACCUAAAUAAUUAAACUAAGAUAAAUUCUCUUAAGGCCCCUUCAAUUGCUCACAAAUAUCUCAAAGUAGUAAAAAUAACUUUAUCAUAUCCCAAUUCUCGUUCGCUUGUAAUUAGGAGAUAACACUCAAUCACUAAUUUUAAGAUCGGUUCUCGGUUUAACUGAUUGAACAAAGUAACCUUAUGUUUGGUCACAUUUGUGGAACUUAAAAAAAAGUAUGACUUAUUAGAGCGGUUAAAUACAUAAUCGGUCUAAAAUUCCUUUGUUGAUCUAUUUGUAUACAUUUAUUCAUAUUCUUAUUUUGGAAACACAUUAAUUCUUUAUUUUUAAGAAAUUAUAACGUCUUGGUAAAAAAAUAAUGACUCUUUCUAGUCUCAUCCCAUAUAAUUCCAGUUACACCCAAAUUUAUUUAAAAUUUUACAAUAAUACCAAAAUUGCCCCCUCCAUCUAAAUUUCUAAAGACACUUCUCUCAUUAUCAUUCUGAAAUCUGAUUCCUCACUCCUCUUUUACCCACAAACCACCAUGGAUAUGCAAUCAAUAUCUACUAUGCCAAUUGAAUCAACAUCUCUUCCAUUGAUACGUACUCGAUUCAUACAAGUAAGUGAAUUUCAUAAAUUUAUUCGAGUUUCUAUUUUAUCUGCUCUAUGAUUUAUUCGAUAUUGUUAAUUUUACCAAGGAUGUUUGUAGUUGUUGUUAAUUUCACGUUUGUCUGUCGAUUUGUUUGAUUUAAGUUUAUGUAGAAGGGUAACGUAAUUUAAGUUUACAUAGGUCUCACGUGAAUUUAGUUUACGUACAUAUUCUAAAAAGGAAUAACAUACAUGUAAAACUCAGUUUACGUUGGUAUACUUAACUUAUGUAAACUCAGUUUACAUGGUGUAUGUAAACUCAGUUUACGUAGUCCAUGCAAACUGAAUUUACAUAUACAUAAUUAAUGUGCUUGAACACGUGAACAUGAAUAAUAUCAAGCAUAUAAUUCAAUAAUUACAUUUAACAACAUAAAUAACUUCAUCCAUUAGCAAUAAUAAUUCUUCAUGUAAUAAUUCUUAAUAGUUCAACCAACUUCUAAUUAUCAUUACUUCAUAUUCAUCACAUUAUAAACAUCAUCAUAUAACACAUAUUAACCAAAUCGUAACAAACAUAGAUCAUCACAUCAUAGUCAUAGUUCAUAUAUAACAUAACAACAUCUUAAUCCUAAUUCAUAUACAACAUAACAACAUCAUUAAUUCAUAAUAAUAAUUAUUCAUCAAACGUCUCAUUAUCAAUUCAUGAAUAAAAGACAACUUAUCAACUUAACAUAAACAUCAUCAAGUACACUUAACAACUCAUAGAUAUCAUCAUGUAAUCAUCAUCACUAAUAACUUUAAAACAACACAAUGUAAUCAACAUCUCACUAUAAUAAUAAUCAUAUACGACACAACAUACUCAUCGCUUAAUAAUAAUAAUCAUAUACAAUACAACAUAAAUCAUCAUCUUAUAAUGACAUGAACAACACAUAUUAAUCAUCUUAUAAUAAUAUAAUAACAACAUAUACAUCAUCUCGUCAUAAUAUAAUAAUAUAACAACAACAUAACAUAAUAUUCUCUUAAUAAUAAUUAAUCAUAUAUAGUACAUCAUAUUCAUCACUUAAUAAUGACAAUUAUAUACAUCACAACAUAUAGCAUCAUAAUAACAUCAUAUAAUCAACAUCGUAAACAACAUCAUAACAUUAUAAUCGGUAUGAUAUACAACAUCAUAACAACAUAACAAUAUCAUAAUCAAUAUCUUAGACAACAUAGCAACAUAACAAUAUCAUAAUCAAUAUUUUAAACAACAUAGCAACAUAAUCAAUAUUUUAAACAACAUAGCAACAUAACAAGAUCAUAAUCAAUAUUUUAAACAACAUAGCAACAUAACAAGAUCAUAAUCAAUAUCUUAAACAACAUAGCAACAUCUUAGUCAACAUCAUAUAAUUCACAUCAUAUAAUCUUCAUAGGUACUUCUUUAACAACACUUAGGUAUAAUGUAACACCCCGUUUUCCCAAUAUCAAAAUUUCUUAAAACAUAACAUUUAUCAGAGUAAGCAUCAACACAACGGGAUAUCACAUAUAACGUAAUCCAACAGUUAAAUAAUAAUUUAACCAAUAACUUAAACAUUGCAGCGGAAAAUCAUAAACAUAGUUCAUAAAAUGUUUUGGCACGCAGGCCCCAACAAAGUAUCUCCAAAGAGUUAAUCAAAACAGAAAUUAUCAUAGCAGUUCACGUAAAAGAAUGAAGCAUGUUAUAGCAUAUAACCCCAUCCCGUUACGUAUCAGAGCGACCUAGACGACACAGUGAGGCAAGGCCACUCACAGAAGCAACUGCACACUAAACACGAUCAUCUGCAGGUUACCCAUACGAAGGGCAACAUUUUCAAGCAGAAGGGGUGAGAUUUCAUAACAAAAUAACAUUAAUCAAUGUAAUUGCGAAUCAUAAAUUAACAUCAUAAUCAUUUCAUCAUUACUAAACAGUUAUCACAUAAUCAUAUAUUCAAUUAUCACGAACAACAUAACAUAAUUGAUAAACACUUAUCACGUAAUCACAUAUUCAAUCAUUAUCAACAAGGCAUCUUAAUCACGACAAUGCGACAAUGCUCUUAGACUCCUUAUAUGCAUGUGGUACCAAUCGUCAUCAUAAGUAUUAAUAUACUUUAAUCGUGCGGAGGACAAAGCUCCUAUAAAACGUGCGGAGGACAAAGCUCCUAAUAAUCGUGGUGAGGACUAAGCUCAAUGAGAUGCUAUGCAUGGACACUUAUGAACAAAACAUCGUAAUCAACAUAACAACAUGUGUCCAAUAAUUUGGAGUUAACUUCAUCAUAUACUUAUGCACUUAGUUAAAUAACGGAAGCAGCAUAAACAAGUCACAUAACAAGAUGAUAUCAUUAUAUCAAUAGCACAUAAAUGGCAUUAUUUUCAAACUUUCAUAUCUUGCAUGAAUAUACAAUACAUUAGUUCAUGUUCAAUUAAUAUCAACAUAACUUAACCAACUCUACAGACUGCAUUUAACGACAUCACUAGGUCUCAUUACCAGUUAGGGGUUCACUCUUGAUCAACACGUGCGACACAGAUCGCACAAACACUCAAGCAACUAUAUCCUGGCUGUGCUCGCGAGGCGAGAGUUCUUACUCGCCGUGUCGAGUACCACUCAACUCCCAAACUAAGCUUGUUCUGGGUUCCCUCUGAUCCUACAUUCAUUCCUAAUCAAUACUAGGUAUGUUCAGGCACUCAAAGGCACUCAAGGUCUAACUAAAAAGUCGAAAACACAAAAUCUAACAUACACUCUGCCUUAGCUCGCUGUGGCGAGUAAGGUUGCUCGCAGUGGCGAGCUGCGUCACACAACUCGCGAGGCGAAGGGAAAUGCUCGCCAUGGCGAGUUGUACCAAACAACUCGCGAGGCGAAGGGGAAAGACUCGUGUGGCGAGCGAUGAAGUUCAUCACUCGCGAGGCGAGGAUCAUAGCUCGCCGUGGCGAGCGAUGAAUUUCGCUACGGCCAGGUUUCCUAAAAUCACAAAAAUCUGUCGAUCCACAUGGUUCUAAGCUUGUUUUUGAUUCCAAAGUUCGUCCUAAACAUUAUUUAAGGUCUAGGAACACUUUCUACAUCAAUUAAACCAAUUCUCACCGUUUGAUCAUCAAUUCUAAGGUUUUGACCUAAUUCCAAAACUUCUCUAAACCAAUCCUAACUUUAUCAAUUAAUCAUCAGAAUUACAGCAAUUAACGUUAUUGAAUUAUUAGUCUCACCCUUACCUUGAAUUGAAGAAAUCGCAGCACUCCCUUAGGUUCCUCUAGACUUGGCUUUUUCUCCCUUUUUCUCCAAAACGUACGUACAACAAAAUGUUUUCUAAAACUAGGUCUAGCCUUUUUAUAUCUCCUCUUAAUUACUUAUCUUAUCUCACUUUCUCCCCCAAAACUAUCUAAAAUAUCAAAACAGCCCUCAACUAAAUAUUUUAUAUUAUUUUCAAAUCUUUAUUCUAUUUAACAAUAAAAUAAAUCUCAUAACCUUAUCAAAUCUUCCAAAACUCAUAACUUAUCACGUCAUCAAUUAAAUCAUCAAAAUCAUCGUAAAUCAUCAAAACAUAUCAAAAUCAUGCUUAUACUAUAUAAUUAUAAUAUAAUCGCCUAAACUCGAUUAAAUAAACGAUUAAACGAAAGUGGGCGUUACAUAUAAGACUACUCGACAACUCAUAGAUGAUAAUUCAUCAACAACUUAACAACUCAUGGAUGAUAAUUUAUCAACAACGACUUUGACUCGACAAAUGCGACAAUGCAAUUUAGACACUUAUAUGCAUGUGGUACCAAUCAUCAUCAUAAGUAUUAAUAUACUUUCAUCGUGCGGAGGACAAAGCUCCUAUCGUGCGGAGGACAAAGCUCCUAAUCAUGGUGAGGACAAAGCUCAAUGAAUGCUAAUGCAUGGACUCUAUCAACAAGACACCUUAAUCAACUUAUCACUUAUACAUCCAAUAAUUUGGAGUUCAUCAUCAACUUAUUCAUACUCAUACAACUUAGUUAAAUAACAAUUGCAGCAUAAUCAAAUCACAUCAAGCUUAAUAACAAUUCAUUUCAACAACAUCUUGAUCAUUCAAUAAUAUUUCGAGUAAUGCAUUUAAUCAUUAAAUCACAUUACAAACAACUUAGCAGUUCAUAACAGCAACAAAAACAGCACAAACAAUUCACAACAUAACAAUAUUAAUGUGAAGCAUCAACAACUUAAACAUCAUACAUCUUCCACAUAAGGCAUAUAAAUAUUUCACAUAACCAACAGCAGCAACAUAGGCGACACGUAAACAUCUCAAGAUAUAACAAUAUCAAAUGAUAAUCAACAACAACUUAAACAUCAUAUAUAAUUCACAUAAUGCAUAUACAAAUAUAUUACAUUACUAUCAACACUAAAUCAUAUUAUAAUAGCUUCACAGAUCAUCAGUAAUAUUAUAUUCAACCCACAUUCCUACCCCGACACUAAAUAAUAUUAUUAUACUCUUAAACACCUUAAUUGAACUCAUAGAACUUCUAGUUUUGAGGGUUGGUAUUAUCCCAUAAGUUUUUGAUUAACUUAGAAAUGGUUAUGCUGAAUUUUCAUAAGAUUUCACUGUGACCUACGUGGAGUAAUUUGAUCAUAACUCAAGUUCUAUAAAUCGUUUUGACGUCAGACCAAUGGCAUUAGAAAGCUAACAUCCAUACCUAUAACUUUCGUGUUUACACCUAAGACGAAUUCUGUACCAAUCAAUACCAGUUUUCAUUUCAAAUUCGGACAAAGUUGUUCUGAAAUUCAUAAAAAUUCACUAAGACCUCCUUGGAGUAUUUUCAUCAUAUCGCAAACACCAAAAAUCAUUUUCAUGUCAAACCAAAGCCACUGGAAAGCUAACACAACUAUCUACAACUUUCAUGUUUGCACCAAAGGCCAAUUCAAAACAGAAACAUGUGAAAAAGACGCAAGAACGCGAAACAGGAAAUGCUGUCAAAGUGCAGCUCACGAGGCGAGUAAGUGUACUCGCUGUGGCGAGUUGCGACAGACAAAUCUACGGGAACAAACUAGUUUUCACUCCAAAACCCCAAUUUCAUCAACCCAAAUCCCAAAUUUGAUAGGAAACUCAACCUAUGUUUAUUCUACAGCCUGAACUUCAAUUCUUAACACAAUUUCAAUGGUUUCUACACUUUUCAAUUCAAAAAUCAAUAAUCAAAACCUAAUCCCAAUUAUCUAACCUAAGAACAACAACAUGUUAAAUCAUAAAUUCAGAAUCAUAGGCUUAAGAAGAUUGAAUGUUAGUCCCACCCUUACCUUAAUACACAAAAUCGCAGCCCUCCUCUUGGUGUUUCCUCUUCUCUUGACUUUUUCUCCCUUUUCUCCAAAAACUGAUCGUACGUACUGUUUUUAUAAAACUAGGUCUUCUCCUAUUUAUAUAAAUCAUCAACCGACUUAUUUUAUCUUAUUCCACUUACACCACUAAACUCUCUAAAUUCAUGAAACAACCCUUAACUAAAUAUUUUAUUUUAUUAAACCAUAUAAUAAGCUACCUAAUAAAUUAUAUAAUCAUAUAAACAAACAACAUAUAUAUCUCUAUAUCGUAAAUAUAUAUCCACACUAAAUAACAUUUAUUUCUAUAACAAAUCACAUUUAUUUCUGCAACAAAUCAUAUAUAUUUAUAUAACAAAUAACAUUUAUAUUUCUAAACCAAAUAACAUAUAUAUAUUUCUAAAUCAAAUAACAUAUAUAUUUCUAAAUCAAAAUAGCAUAUAUAUAUUAUACUAAUAAAUACCAACAUAUAUCAUAACAAAAUAUCACUUAUCAAAAUAAAUCAUACAAAUCAUAUAAGUAUAUUCUAAACUCAUUAAAAUAAUCAAAUAAUUAGAGAGGGCGUUACAUCUCCCGUAACCAUAGCUUGGAAAAUCCGCUCCAUCCCCUGCACCCAAGUCUAUGCUCCCUCUGGGUCGAAUCUCCCCUUGAAAGUUGGUGGAUUGUUCCUCAAGAACCUAUCGAGCCUCCUCUCUUCGGCCUCACCUUCAUUCCUACGGUUAGCCACCGCAUUCUCAUUCGCUUGAGCCAAAACUUGUGCCAUAGCUGCUAAAGCUUCCGCAAUCGCCGAAUCAUCACGACCACCUGCCAUCUCAGCACUACACAACCAUCUAACCGAUAAGAAAUCAACACAGCAAAGCAAAUGUCGAAGGUACUAAGCUACCAUUCGCACACAACAGGGAAAAAACAACAAACAUAAGUCUAGACACUACUGACCGUGGCUCUGAUACCAACUUGUAACACCCUACUUCUAUUAAAGCAAUUAAACUGCGAAUAAUACAAUUAUUCAAGAAAUAGAGGCUACGCCACAUUCAAAAUUCAAAAACAAUAAUAAUGUAUAUAAACCUCAACAGUCGCAGCGGAAUAUAAACCAGAGUAAAUCCAAAUAUACAUGUCAAUAAUCAAUAAAUUACAUCACAUAGAUGCAUCUCAAUAAUCCCAACAAACGGAUAAAUCUCCAAACAUAACGAAUAAUCCAAAACAAAAUAUCUAGACUAAGACGGACGCCUAGAUCAGAGCCACCUAGACUCUAAAAACGCCGAUAUCGGAGAAAGCUCCCGAUAUCACCAGCACAAACUCACCGAGCACUACUCCUGCACAACGUCUACUCACCCAUACAGGCAAGUAGGCGGUUAAAACCACUGGGGUGAGUAUUUGAUGAGAUAAAACCGCAAGUGCACGGUUCUAUCGAAGUAGUAAAAAUAGAGUAUCGUUCCGACAGUGAGUUAUGAAUUCAAUUAACUUUAGAUAAUGAUUAGACUGAAAGUUUAGAAGGUAGAAAGUUUUAUUUUUAAUUGAAAGAAAAUAAAAGAAAAGAAAAGAUAAAAGCCUUGGGAUUAUUGGUUCAUCCUAAUGACAAGUCCUUCACAAACCAAACUAUUAAACUUAUAACCUUAUGUUAGACCUAAUUUCUCAAGACAGAUUCUCUUUUGUUCAACUAGCAACCAAGCCUAUUUCGCUGACUUGAUUACUAUUAGAUUUUGGUCCUAAGUUGCAACCAAGCCUAUUUCGCUGACUUGAUCACAAUUUAGAAUCCUUGAAGUUCGAAACUAUAUGUCUCAAAGAUUGUAAAGACUAUUUCGCUGCCUUUACAAUCUUUGUCUAAAUUCACUUGUUCGAAUAUCAAAGCUCCACUUUUGUUUUAUGAAUUGAUAUUUGAGAUGAUGGAUAAACAAUUAUCAAACCCUCCACUUUCGUUGCCACAGUUUGAUAAUGGUUGAUCCAUGUUAAAGCGGUGAAUUUAGAUAAGGAAUUAAGGUUACAUAAGAUUAAGGUUUAAAGCUUGGUUUGAUUAGGAUUAUGUCAUUUAGACUUAUCCAACAAUCCCAAGACAAGAGAAGUCUACUCACUAACGUUCAUUGUAGACAAGGAGAAGAAGAGAGAAAGUAUAAAAGUAAAUAACAAGAAAGUAAAAUGAACUUUUAUUAGAAAGACAAUUGUCACAUAUUGCAUUCCAAAAAAAGAUGAAUAUUUGUGAUGGAUGGCUACUCUAUUUAUAGCAUUCAUUCGACUUAAAAUCUAAGCAAUUACAUUCGGGCUAAAAAUAGAGUAGCUUAAAAUCUAAGCAAAAGCAGCAAAAGGCACUCUUGAGGGUGGCACGGCCGUGCCAAUGCUAGCACGGGCCGUGCCAAGCUUCUGACUUUGGGGAGACAUAUUUUUGUCUCUCAAUCUUCAUAUUUUUGUACCGAAUCAGCUCCAAGUCCCUUUCUUUUGCUCCAAGACUCAAUCCAUCCAAUAUCAUUCCUGAAAUAUAAUAAAAUGCAAUUUGUAGUAAACUAUCUUAAAAAGGAAAUAAUAUUAAUAUAAAAUAAACUAAAAUCUAAUUAAAACUAAACUAAAUAAUAUCUAGAAAUAGGUAAUAAAUGACUCAUCAGUAUUACAUCAACAUAAUCAAAAUAACAGAUAAGCAGGAAUAGCAUACUCCAAUAUCAUGUAAUGAAUAAAAAUAGAUAAGUUUCAUACAUACUCAUUCACUACAAUCCAAGUCUCACCGACAUAUAUUCAACGAACAUAUCAUCACCAAUAAGCAUCAUUCACAAUUACCAAUCGCGAUUACUCAUAGAUGGUCAUUAAUCACAUUUCAUCAAUCAUCACUAAUCACAUAUAUCAAACAAGACUCAUGUUAUGUUAUGCACUUAUUGACACAUAAAUGCAUGUGGUACCGAAUCUCCAAAAAGGUCGUCACAUUCGAUGAUAAAACACAUUGUAUGUAAGGGUUCACACCCGCCUUACAUAAUCUCCGAAGUAAAAGAGCCAACCCUUUUACAACUACACGACUAUGAUGCAUGGACAUGUAACAAGACUCGAUAAUGCGACAACAAUCACAAUUUUCUCCACAAUAUAUAGGACGACACCCAAUUAUAUUGUUAAUCUCCACAUCAUUUGCAUUAUCAAGAAAACAUGCUCAUAUACAAUUCAAAUGUAUUCAUCAUUACACCUCAACAUAUUUAUCAAUAAUCAACAAUGUCAUCCAACAUCAAUUACAUGAUUUUCAAUAAUCAACAAACAUCACUUAUCACAUAUGAUUUUACCAAUUCAAGAAUUCUCAUAUUCCAAGCAAUUAGCAUAUGUUUAUCAUGAUAAUCACCAUAUCUCAAACAUAUACAUGCAUACUCAAUUAUUCACUCUAAGUACUUCAUUAACCCAUUAUUAAGUUUUGGAAAAGUUCCACGGCUCAAAGAAAAAGUUAUGAUAAUUUUUAACAAAAAUCCACAUGACUCAUGUGCAGUAAAUUAUUCAUAACUUGAGUUAUAAAAAACAUUUGAAUACCAAACCAAAGCCAUUAGAACAAUAACAUAAUUAUCUAAAACUUUCAUGUUUUCCACAAAGUCAAAAUCAAAACAGAAAUACGCGAAAACGAUGCAAGAGCGCGAAACAGGGAAAGCUGGCACUGGGCUACUCGCCUCACGAGUAAAGGUUACUCGCCGUGGCGAGCAAUUCCAGUAGCUACUCGCCACCGGCUUGCCUCCCACUCGCCUCGCGAGUUAUGACAGGUUGCAGAAAAUUCUAUUUUCGUGAAAAAUCCAUUUUCACCCCAAAAUCUCAAUUUUUGACUUCCCAAUACCCAAAUUGAUUCCAAAGGUUUACCCAAAUGUUUUUAGACAUGAAAAGAUACUUAAAUCCAUAUACAAACUUGAAUCAAACAUCAUUUUAAUCAAAAUCACCAUUUGACCCAUUUUCUCAAAACAACCACAACAUCUCAUUUCUCAUAAUCAAUUCACAAUUAAGUAUACCCAAAUCAUGAUUCACUCACAAUAGCAUCAGUUAACAAUAACAACAUCAAUGGAAUAUGAAUUACACCUCAUUUCAAUCAAAACAUAUCAAAUUUCAUCAAUUAAGUAUAAUCUCAUAACUUAACAUUUAUACAUAUUUUGAAACAUGUAAUUUCACCCACAAACAUACCAUAAUCAUCAAUUCAUGCACAAGGAAAUAACAUCACAGCAAGAGCACGAAUUUAGCAACAAUGUUCAUCAACCCAUUUUCAUAACACAUGAGAAAAUGCAAAAAUUGAACAUGAUUAUGAUGAUAACUAACCCCCUUACCUUAGAAGAAGAUUAACCCAAACUCUUGUUUCAAUUCAGCUCCUAAGCUUACCCCAAUUGAUUCCUCAAGCUAUUCUCUUCAAAACCUUUGUUCUUCUCUUCACCUCUUUCUCUCUCUACCUCUCUCUAGGAAAAUUUUAUGAAGUGAAUGAAAGAUAUUUUCUCUAUGACAACCCUAAUGUUAUCUCCCUUAAUGGGCUUAACUUAAUUUCCAGUGGGCUUAACCCAUUUCUAUUCAAACCACAAAUAUCUCUCUUAAUUAAUAACGGUAAAAAGUCACUAACGGUUAUUAAAUGGUAAAGUCUCGACUUACUCUAGUAACUAAAUGAAAUAACUAUUUUUUUACUAGUCACUAAAAGUAAUUCCAACAAAAAAAAUUAUAAUUUUACUCGUUCUCCCUAAAAUUACCAAAAUGCCACUCUAAUAUGAAAUUAUAAGAAAAUGCACUCAAUAAUGAAUGAUCACAUACAAACACAUAAAGCACAUAAUAAAACAAUUAAAAAUAAAUUUAGCUAAAAAUCGGGCUGUUACACUUUACAUGUGUUGAAUAUGAUGUUUAUCAUAAUGUGUUGUAUUUUCUCCUUUACUUGAAUUGUGAGAAAUCGUAUGGAGUUGUUGAACAAUAUGAUAUAGUUGAUGUCGAUUAAUGCAUAUAUGUUGAUUGAUUGUGAUAUUGUCGGUGAAUGCAUAUAUGUUAAGUGAUGGUGAUGUGUUGGUGAUUGCAUAUAUACUAAAUGAUUGAUGAAGAUGUGGUGAUGACUCUUAAUUGAUUUAUGACUUGAUUGAUUGUGUGGACGUAAAUACUUGAUAAUGCAAUUGUUGUUGAGGUGAUCAAUAUAAUUGGAGGUUAUCCUUUAUAUUGUUGUUGAAUAUUAUGAGGUGAUUUUGCAUUGUCGAGUUUUUGCUUGUAUGUCCAUGCAUCAUAGUCAUGUUGAGUCUUGAUGUUGUAAAGGAGGGUUACUCUUUUACUUCGGUGAUAAUGUAAGACGGGUGUGAAAUCUUACAUACGAUGUUUUUGUUGCAUCGAAGGUGACGACCUUGAGGUGAUUUGGUACCACAUGCAUAUAUGUGUCGGGAAUAUGCGCAUAUCAUAUUGGCAUGAGUCUUAAUUGUUUACAUGUGAAUGAUGAUUGUUUGAUGAUAAGUGUGUUUGAUGAAUACAUACUUGUGACAUUUGGAUUUGAUUGGUUGAUGAAUUGUGUCAUAAUUGAAUAUGUGACUUGAUGAAUUUGUGCAUUGGUGAAAUUGUUGAACGAUGUGUUCUAUGCGGAUUGUGUAUAUGUACAUUGGUGGAUUUUGUUGAUAGUUGUAAAUAAAUGAUCUAUGCUCUAAUUGCAUGUCUUGUUUACUUGUGCUUAUACACUUGAUGAAUCUAUUUGAUGAUAAUUGGUUUGGUAAUAGUGAUGAGGUGAGAAUUGUAUAUGUGUGUGUAUAUAUAUAUAUAUAUAUAUAUAUAUAUAUAUAUAUGAUUUGGUGAUUCCUUUGAUAAUGAUGAUUGCUUGCUUAUAACCUUGAAAUGAUGAAUUGUACUUGUUGAGUUAAGUAUGUUAAAUGAGGAAUAAGGUGAGUAAUCCUUUAAUUGAUUGAUGUUGAUAAAUGAUGAGCUUAUGUCGAUGACUUGAUUAGAGAUUGAAUAUGCUUGCUAUGCUAUGUUAGUAAUAUGAUAGAUUGAGGUGUAUGGAAUGGGGGAUAAUAAUCAUGUGAUGCUAGUAUUCUAGAAGGGAUGGUUAUAUAUAUGUGUGUGUGUGUGUGUGUGUGAUGCAUGAAAUCCUUGAAUGCUUAUGUUUGUUUAUGUUGAUUAUGAUUGAUGUAAAGUUUACCCGUAGUGGUUUUGACCGCCUACCUGUUUGUAUGGAAGGGUAGACAAAGUGCAGGAUUAGUUUGCUUUUGGUGAGUGGCUUGAUGAUUGCUUGGAUAACGGGAGCUAUCUCCAUUAUCGUUUCCUUUGAGUCUUAGGGUAGGCUCUGAUCUAGGAUGUCUGUCUUUAUGAUUAUUCUAGAUUGUUUAUUCUAUAUUUAUUUAUGUUGUGGAGAUUUACCCAUUUGUCGGGAUUUGGAGAUUUUAUAUGAUGAUGUAUAUUGAUCUUAUGACAUGUAUGUUUUGGAGAUGUAUGAUUUAUAUACGCUGCAACUAUUGAGAAUUUUUAUAUAUGCAUGUUGAUUUUGUUUUUGUUGAAGACGUAGCGUCUAUUUCUUGAAUAUAUGCUUUAUUCGCGUGUUUUAUCACUGUAAUAGAAAUAGGGCGUUACAUGAGUCAACAUGUAAGUAACCACAGACCCUUUCGGGUUAAUAAAGUCAUACCCUUUCGGGUUUACAAACCAAACCAUCGCAAAAGAUCACAUCUGCAACCACCCAAGCCCUGAACAAGAACAGAAACAAAAGCAGAAACCCAAAUAAUACAAAAAAUAACAAUACAACAACAAAACAACCUCAAAGCCAACCAGAUCAAUAACAAACCAAAGCUGAAAACCUUCGAGGAAAGUAACAACUUCCACAUGGCAACUCAAAGGAGCAACAACGACAAAAUAGCGACAGACCAAGGAAUCAGCCAAAAUAACUGUAGAUUUGAGCCACAAAGGAAAGAGUUCAACCCCCAAAAAUAGAAGGUGGUGCAAACCCAGACAAACCCCAAACUCCGGCGAGCUAAACAAGACCGAGGAACCCAAGCUGAAGAGCAGCAACGGCGAGAUCUGAACCAAAACGCCGGUGAACCACCUUAAACCCACGACUCCGAAUUGCCCCUUGUGGAACUCGACGGCGAGCAGGAAAGAGGUGGUGCGAAGAACCAACGUUCUCGUCGCGCCACCGUCGGCGGAGUCUACAUCUAAAAAAGAAGAGUUUGGAUUUUGGGAUUUUGAUGGCGGUGAAGGGUUUUUUUUUUUUUUUUUUUCUAGAGAGAGGGCAGAGAAAAAGAAGUUAGAGAGAGUAGGGCCAAAAAUCUCGUUGAAAUCCCCUUUGAACAUAUAUACAACAAGAAAAAAUAAAACAUCAAUACCAAGAAAAAUUAUCAAAUGUUAUAAUUUUGAAGGAUUGUUUUAAAUAAAACCUUCAUACCAAAAAAGAUAAAAACUUAUCCUUAAUUGUUGAUUGUUUUUUAAGAAAAUUAUAAUAUGAAUGGAUAUAUAAAAUAGAUCAAUGGAGGCCUUUUAGGUUGAUUACACAUUUAACCACUCUAAGAGGUCAUACUUCGCAAUUUGAAACAAGUAAGUCUCACAAGUGUGACAAAAAAGAAGGAUACUUUGUUAAAUUUGUUAAACAACAGAGAACUGAUCUAAAAAGAAGUGAUUAGGACUUAAUUCUCAAUCACAAGUGAACAAGUUCGAAGGUAUUUUUGAUAUUAUGAGGUGCCUGUAAACAAUUAAAAGUGCCUAUAGAGUGAUUGUCUUAAACAAAUACCGCCAGCCAAACCAUCAAUUUUAUGCGCAAAAAAACAAAGGAUUUUAUUGAUUCCUUGAGCUUUAAGGUCUAUCAUGACCGAGUUCCACUUGAGUGACUUUAACUUUUUGUAAUUUUGAUAACUUUUUCUUUAUCUCUCUCGAGAUCAACCAUUCUCUUUAAUCAAAAUAAUAUAUUUUACUCCUUCAUCAAUCAUUUUAUCCCAUCAAAAUUCAAAGUCGUCCAAGUAAUUUCCAUCCUGACUGUAGUACGCAUCCAAACCUCAACACCAAAGCUUUCUCUCAUAAAAAAAAUAUUUAAAUGUCAUUCUCUAUCUUUCUUCAUCAACUAUUCUGACACAAUGACAAAUAUUAAAUCAUAUUAAAGUGAAGGGGUAAUGUUAAUUAUACCAUUAACUUGUUUAGUAGAGCUCAAUAUUAUAUUUUAUGAUCUAAACUAUAAACCUUUUGUUUGCAAACAUAAAACAUGUCGAUGAUUUCAAUUUAAGUUAUCUAGAAUGAAACAAAGUUAUAUGAAUUAAUAUAUAUAUAUAUAUAUAUAUAUAAGGGUUCUGCUAGAAGUCAUCUAUAAAUGUGUCUUUUAGCAACCCACACCUUAAGGUGUGAUUCCCACUUUUUAGUUGUAACUUUGCUAACAGAGUACACCUUUAUAAAAAUUAGUUGGUGUCUUUUAACAAAUGCUUCUAGAAUAACUUGCUAAAUGACACCUUCAUAAAAUGUGUCUUGUAGCAAAACCCAUAUAUAUAUAUAUAUAUAUAUGGAAGCUUCUACGAAGAAGUCAGGAAAAUGACUUCUUCGGUGAAGUCGUCUGAAUGGGCCAAUCAGAUUUUAAGUGAUGACACGUCAGAGAUCUUAAUAAUGUUACAGUGUAGUGCGGUCUACAAUACCGUAAGUGAAGAAAAACUUUAUUUCAUGAUCUUAAUAGUUAGAUUUACUUGAUCUUUAUGUUAUUGUGGUACAACAUCUACACAUGAAUUUUCUUCUAGUACCAAUUCUCUCUCCUUUUUAUUUCUCUUUCUUUAUUUAUUUAUAUUCUCUCUUCCAGAUUUUUAUUAAAUCAACAUCUUCAUCUUUCCUUCAUCUUCUUCAUCAUAUCUUCAUCAACUUAUUCAUCAUCUUCAUGAGAGGGAAAAAAAACCAGAAAUUAAAAAAAAAAUGAAAUUACAUAAUAAAAAAAAAAACAUUACAAUUAAAUACAUUUUCAUAAAAACAAUUCCAAUUUCAAUUCCUCAUUUCCCAAAUUAAUCCCCUAAUUAAGCGUAUUUCUCCAAUUUUAUCUUAAUGAAGACCUCAAUAUAAUUUCAUCCCAUGUAUUUUCUGAUUUGUUUUUGCUCUUAUCCACCGUGUUUUUGAAUUGCGAAAGAAAAAUCAAAAUUUCAUAACAAAAAUGAUACUAUUUAGAUCAUUAUAUUGUCCUUUGUAACACCUAUUUGCUAAAAAAAAUUAUUACGUAAGUUUUACAUUUAAUCUUUCAGUUUUUCUUACUAUAAACGAUAUAAACACUUAAUCUUUCAGUUUUCAAAGAUAAAUGAUAUGGUAUGAAAAAGUAUAAUAACCCAUAAAUAUGAGUCACAAGUUGUUCAUUAUAAACCUACAAGAGUCUUUGAAAUUCCUCUCAAAUUAACAAAAAAAAGUCUUUGCAAAUCUAAAACUCUAAAUCAGUAUAUAUAUUAGUUUUAUUAAUAUUAGCUAUUUUAAUUUUAUUUUUAAUAUUUUUUUUUUGAAAUAAUUUCUAAUAAAAUUAUAAUUAGGUAUCUACUAUACAAUAUUAAAUAAAAUAAACGUCAACAUAAUAUAAUCAACCAGGUCAUGAAAUAUGAUCUUAUUGAAAUAAGAACGAAGCAGAAACUGAAAUUUCAGAAAUCGAAAUCUUUUUAUUUUUUAUUUUUUUUACAACAUAUUAACCUUUCCAGAAAUUUCAGAAAUCGAAAUCGAAAUCUUUCGGAUUUUACAACAUAGAUUUGGAUAUAUAUUUUUUUUUAAAGCAUAAAUCUGGAAAUUUUAAUAACACAAAAAAAACUGGAUUUUUAUUUUAUUUUUUCCGUUUAUUAAACGCUUCUACUUUAGUCCAAUAAGUUUGUAAUAUUCAACAAGCUAGUGGAUGAGACUCGCCAACGUCAUAGUUGAUCGGCGUGAAUUUUCUUCUAUUUGGCUCAGUUACACUAGAUGUUUUUUGACAUGCUACGUCACUGACUUGUGAAUAACCAAAUGAUGCUCUACUUGUUUCUAUUUCAUGUACUCUUAAUUGAAUUCCAGUAAUGUGAUUGCUAAAAAUUUUAAAAUCAAUUUAGGUCUGUGGAGAUAAGUUCAAGUUGCGUUGCGCAGGAGAUUAAGCCAAUCCAUACUUCACGAAAUAACACAGAACUGCAAAUUUUAAUUUUUGGAGGUGGUGGCGGCGGCCAUCAUCAUGGUGGUGGAUAUGGUGGACGGGUUUUAUGAACAGUUUAUCAUAGAAUAGUAAAAAAUUAUAAUGCAAAACAAUAAAUAAAUAAAUUGGAAUAAAUGGGUUGUUGAAAUAGAAAGAAGAAAAGGUGAAAAAAGAGAAAGAAAUUAAAUAUAGUGUGAAAGGCAACACAAUAAGACUAGUGAGGUACUUAAUCCGAUGGUUCAAAAAAUCUAAUAAAACUAGUCUUCGGUAGAAUAUAUUGAGCAGAUGCACAACACAUACUAUGCAACAAUAAACACACAUGACACAUGGCGCAUUAUUAUUGAAUGUAGGAUAACUUCAUCAAAAAAGUCAAUUGAAUAACUUCACCAUAAAAUUUCCCUAUAUAUGCAUGUAUGUCAUUCAUAUAUAUUACAGCUGUGUACCUCAUAACUAGUCAGCAGUAGAAGACAUCAGAUUAUCCAUGGUUUCGCUCAUUGCUCCUUCCAACCACUCUCCAGUUGAAGAUGCAGAAGUUCUUCAAAGGGCUGUUAAAGGUGAUCAGAACCAUAUCCAUCUUUUCAUAUUGUUCUUUAUUACAUCUUGAAAAUUCAUCAAGCCUUCAUUCACACAUAAGAAUAUUUUUUUAAUUAAUAGUCAUUAUUCUUUUCCCAAAUUUUAUUAAUAGUAGUUAAUUAAGAUCAUAUUUGUUGCAAUCUCAAGUUAGCUUUGAAUCUUAUACGAGUCAUCGCGAUGUUAUUCUUAAUUAAAAGUUGACUCAUUGAGUUGAAGAGGGUGAAUAUAUAAACUAUCUUUAAUAUCAAUUUUCGGAGUUUUUGUUGUACUAAUAGCCCUUAUUGAGGGUAAUGAAAAGGGUCAAUCAUUAAGUUUUGUGCAUCGCUCAGACCCUUUUUCUGGUGCCAAUAUUCUGGCAUGUUACACCAUUUUUCUAACGUAUUGUUGUCUACUUUGAAUUUUACAUAUGCCUUUACGAUUUUGUCAUUUGUUAAAAGUAGUCUAUGUAGAUCAAACUUAGUCUUGAUUCUCAAAUAAUAUGAAAUUGUUUUGUGUAGCGAAACGAUUCCAUAUGUUAUAACCGGUGAGUGUAUAUGGGAUAUUUUUUAAAAGAUGUGCAUAAAGAAAUAGUAAUAAUAUCUUGAAUUUGAUUAAAUUACUGAGCUUCGAAAUUUUGUAGGUUGGGGAGCUGAUGAAAAAGCCAUUAUAGCAAUAUUAGGUCAUAGAAAUGGUACCCAAAGGACUCAAAUCAGACAAGCAUACUAUGAACUCUAUCAAGAGGAUCUCAUCAAACGCCUUGAAUUUGAGCUUUCAGGUGAUUUUGAGGUGCAUACACGAAGAAAAAAAAAAUUGUCAAUUAAAUAUAUUAAAAUUGAUGUACCAAAAAGAAAAUACAUAUUAAAAUUGAAAUUUUGUUAAAACUUUAUUGUGCAUGUCGAUGUUUUUAAUGUAUACAUUAAUGUAUUUGUUUUUUAUCAAGUAAUUUAGUGGUUAUAAAUUCAGUUUUCUGUCCGGAAUUCAUACCGACCUUUGCAUAUCUUAAUAUCCGUACCAAUUGAGUUAAACUCACGGAUACAUACAUCAAUGUAAUUUUAUUAUGUAUAUUGUUGAUAUAUACACACGCCAUUAUCAGUAAAAAUUAAUUUUUCGACAAUUCUAGUUUUUUUUAAACACAAGCAAUAAAUAAUAACUAAAUUAGUGACGAGUUGUUGAAAAAAAUUUGUUACCAAAUUGAUCUCUAAAAUAGGUGGCUUAAUUGGUCUCUAAAACUAAUCUCAGAAUCAAAUUCUAAAACCUAAACUACAACCCGAUCUCUUAAAAUCGACAAACCGAUUUGUUGUGAAUUCGGACUCAAAAUCACACCAAUACAAACUAUGAUGUGUGGAGUACAGGAAAGUAGUAAUCGAUAUCAAAGUGAACACAAGCAAUAAUCAACAAUAAGAGCUCCUAGAUCUAAUCUAGGAAUCAAAGUGAAAAGCACAAAUCCACAAGCAAAAGAUAAAAGGAGAGAAGAGAGGAACAAACACACCAAAGAUUGUUGACCCAGUUUGGUCCAAAUUGACCUAAUCUGGGGAAAGAUUGAUCUCUCGAAUCCAUUAUCAAUGAGUUCUUACAAAGAGAUACAAAUGGGUUACAAGAAAUUAGCUUCAACAAGUUCACAAAGAACAACCCUAAUUUCUACCCAUUUUCCCAAUCUCACCAAUGAACAAGACACUCAAUGAUUUUCACUCACCCAAGGUGUUUACAAUGUUUCCCAACCCAAGAGAACUCUAAUCAAAGACCCUCAACCCUAAAGUUACCUCCUUCGAUUUCCCAAGUUUCUCUCUCUUCAAGCCCCACUUCAAAAUCUGCACAAGAACACUUAAAUAGUACCCUGCAAGUGUCAAAAUCGUGUCACGUUUUGCCAAAUCGUGACACGUUUGGUGCGUACGACCCAAGGUACGACCAAACUUAUCCUGAAAACUUUCCCAGCAAGCCGAAAAUCGUGUCACGUUUUCCCAAAAUUGUGUCACGAUUGGACACUCAGAAAACAUGCUCUCGGCAUAGCCAAAUCGUGACACGCUUAUGAAAUCGUGUCACGAUUUCUCUGUUUUCCCAACUUCACAAUUUGAACCCAUAAACAACACGAUCUCUUAAAAUCGGUUAAUAAUAUCAAUGACUUAUGCAUUUGAUGUGGUUGCUUUAAACUCAACUUGACAAUCAUCGGAUUUUUCUCGUGAUCCAAUAUGAAAGAAUGUUUUUUUAUAUAGGAAAAAAAUAUAUUUAAUAAAACCAAUCCCAUUUAGUUUUUCCACUGACAUUGAAAAAAAACAAAAAAAAAAGCUUCUUAUUAUGAAAACUUUUUGAUUGCUUUCUAUCAUGAAAACAUUGCUUUUUAAUUAUAAUGAAUUUGACUUGUUGGUAUGAACAAAAAAGAGAGCAAUGUAUAGAUGGAUAUUGGAACCAGCAGAACGUGAAGCUUCGUUGGCAAAUAUAGCACUAAGAAAUGCAAACAUAAACUUCACCUGAUGAACUUUUCAAUUUGAGACGUGCUUAUCACAAUCGAUAUAAACGUUCCUUGGAGGAAGACGUUGCUACCAAUAACAAUGGUUAUCUUCGUCAGGCAAGUCAUAAUAUAUACUCCUUCUGAUCUUAUUUAUAAAAGACGUUUUUUUCAACAAAAAUUGAUGUAUCUAAUUCAAAAUUUGGUCUAGAUAUAUAACUUUUGUUGACCCAAAUAUUUUGUAUAAAACCGAUUUUAUCCAUAAGAGACAUUUGUGUUAAUAAAAGGUGUUGUGAUUAAUUUUUGAGCAGCUUUUGGUGGGGUUGGUGAGUUCAUUUAGGUAUGGUGGGAGUGAAGUCAAUGCAAGUUUGGCACAAUGUGAAGCUGAUAUGCUUCAUGAGGCUAUCAAACACAAGAAUCACAAUCAUGAAGAAGUAAUCAGAAUACUUACAACAAGGAGCAAAACACAACUUGUAGCAACUUUCAAUUGCUAUAGGCAUUGCUAUCACUAAGGUACACCAAUAUCCCUAAUUGUCUAUAUACUACUAUAAAAAGAGAUGUCCAUUGAAUUUCCAAUUUUGCCCCAUAUGAGGGGUAAUUUGGUAAUUCACAAAUUCACCAAUAGCCUAUGAAUUUUCAUUUUUGCCCCUAACUAUAUUUUUAAAUUAUUUUUUUAUUUUUAUAUUUUUAAUAACUUUUAACUAUUUUUCCAAUUGUAAAAAAAAAAAAAAAAAACUAUUUUUCCAAUUUUUUUCUUCCAAAUUCAGUUGCUUCUACUCUGCCGUUGUGGGAAAUUAAUGUACCGUUUGACCCUGCUUUUUUUCAACUUCUCUACAUUUUUAAGGAUAAGUUAGGCCAAACACAAUAUCAAUUAAGUACUUACUAAAAAAAGUACUUUUGUUCAAAAAAAAUUGAAUGAAAUGAGCUUUGGCCAAAAAUUGUUAAAUGCUGCUUCAAAAAACUACUUAUCGAUAAUUUAUUUCACAAGCACAUCUCUUCAAGUCACGCUGGGAACCUUUUCUUUUACUUUUUAAUGUUAUAUUUCAAUGUUUUUUUCUUCCAUUUAAUUGUAUUUUAUUUUUUUGAACCGUUUCAUUUAAUUUUUUUUAAGGAGGUUCCAUUUAAUUUUUUUUUUUUUUCAAAUGAAUUUUAUUAUCUUUUUAUAACUAUAUAAUUAAUUUCAAUAUCGUUUAAUCAUCACAAACUCACAAAUAUUUCAAUUCUGUUGCUUCUACACUGUCGUUGUGGAAGAUUAAGGUACCGUUUGAAUCGUUUUUUUUUCAACUUCUCUACAUUUUAUAGGAGAAGUUAGGCCAAACAUGAUAUCAAUUAAGUAUUUUUUAUAAAAAAAAAAUACUUUUUUUAAUGCAUAAAAUUGAAUGGAAUGAGCUUUGGCCAAAAGUUGUUAAAUGCUACUUCAAAAAACUACUUCUUCGACAAUUUGUUUCACAAACAUCUUUCUUCAAUUCACGCUAGGAACCUUUUAUUUUAUUUUUUAAUAUUAUAUUUCAAUAUGUUUUUUCAUCCAUUUUAUUUUAUUUUAUUUUUUUGAACAGUUUCAUUUAAUUUUUUUAAGGAGCAUCCUUUUAUUUUAUUAUCUUUUUUUAAAGGAAUUUUAUUAUCUUUUUUAUCACUUAUAUAUUUAAUUUCAAUAUCGUUUAAUCAUCACAACCUCACAAGUUUUUUUAUUCACGCUGCCAUUUAAUGAUAAUGAUAUCAAAUAUUUUUAUUCUUUCUCCAACCUCGCAAAUAUACACACACACAUUAACGUUUAGAGUAAUACUUUAUGUUCGUCUGUCUGUUUUUUUGUUAUUGCAAUGCGUAUAAUUUUUUUUGCCGUUUCAUAAUGCGUAUGAUUAUUUUUAUAAAAUUUUGGUUUUAAUUAAAAGUACAAGUAUAUAUGCCUAAAAAAGUUAUACUUAUAUAUAUAUAUAUUUUGUACCUUUAUAUUGUAACAAACUAUGCAUAUCUUUUUUCUAAUUCAAAAAAACAAAACAUGCAUGUUUCAAUGACACCAACAAUAUAACAAAUAUAAUAUCAUACAAUAUAAUAUCUUAUCUUUUUUAAAGACACCAAAAAUACAGAAUUCUUAUAACGAAACUUAUUAUAGUGUGUAAUUGAAAUAGAAAAAACCAACUAUUUUGAUAUUAUUUAAGUUAUUAUUUCAGCCUCCUUAAAUUAUUUCUUCUAUUCAAAUAUUUAAUAAUUCGUUUAUAUGACGAUACUAAUUUGUAUUCAUGUUACACAAAAUAAACGUCAUUGAGUAAAUAUAGUAUUUGUAAGAAAAAAAUAUCUUUUAUAUUUUAAACAUUUUUAGCCUUCAGGAAAUAUUUUAAACAUUUUAUUUAUUUAUUAUGCUAAUUCAUAAUAAAUUCAAAGAUUUAUCCUCGUGAGCUUAGCCCAGUUGAUAGAGACAAUGCAUAAAUAUAUGCAAAGUCCGGGGUUCGAACCCUGGACACCAUAAAAAAAUAAUUCAAAGUUUGUACAAUAUUUUAUCAAACAACUUUUAAAAAUAGCCUUAAAACUAUAAAUAAACAAAGAAACCAAACAACUUUAACUUCUUUCUUAAAGGCUUUUAUUUUAAUUUUAUUUUGAAGUAACUUUUGGACCGCUAAAAAGUUUGGCUAAACUGUACCUAAGUUCAAUUUUAACUGUAACAGCCCGAUUUUCAGCUAGAUUUAUUUUAAUUACUUUUAUUAUGUGUUUUAUGUGUUUGUGUGUGAUUAUUCAUCAUUGGGUGCAUUUUCAUGAGUUUCCGUGUGGGAAGGGUAUUUUAGUCAUUUUAAACUUAGGGGUAUUUUGGUCAUUUUGUGAGAACGGGUAAAAUUAUAAUUUUUAGUGGGAAUUACUUUUAGUGAUUAGUGAGAAUAAUUAUUUCAUUAAGUUACUUGAGUAAAUUGAGAUUUUACCGUUUAGUGACCGUUAGUGGUAUUUUACCGUUAUUAGUUAAAUAACGUUUGGAGUGUAGAAAUAUUUUUGGUUUGAAUAGAAAUGGGUUAAGCCCACUAGAAACUAGGUUAAGCUCAUUAAGGGUCAUACCUAAGGAGUUGUCUUAGGAAAAUAUCACUUCAUUCAUUUCAUAAGAUAUUUUCUAGAGAGAGAUAGAGAGAGAAAGUCGAAGAAGAGAAGAACAAGGGUUAGAGAGAAGAGGGAGAGCUUGAAGAAUCAAGAUUGGAGUGAGCUUACGAGCUAAAUUGAAGCCUAAGUUGGGAUUAAUCUUCAUCUAAGAAAGGAAGUCUUUGUAGCAAUUAUUUUUUAAGGGAUGACUGAUUUUUUAUUUUGUAAAAUUAGAUUGUAUUUAGAUCUCUUCAAUGUCGCUAACAUAUAUACACGGGUCUAUUUUAACUAUUUGAGAUAAUUAGUGGUGUAUCUAAAUAAAUAGACCUGACUACUGUCUCGAAUGUUGAUUAUAGUAUAUGCUCUUUUGAUGCUUUGGUAAAUAUUUUAAAAAGAUGCACAUUUCUAAUGUUCGUGUAAUAUGCUUACUUAAUUCUCACAUUUAUUAUCAACAACAAUCUAUUAGAAAAAUGCAAUUAUCUCCCUUAAUUUGAAUAUUUUUCCUUUAGAACAAUUUUUUUACAAAACACGUUAUUCAACCCGUGCGAAGCACGGGUUUGUAACUAGUUUUUAUAAUAAUUUAAAUAUAUAGUUUUAGUUGAAAAGAUAGACCUAAUGAGGUUGGAUUCAUAUGAUUAAUGAAUUUAACGAUAAAUAGUUCAAGAGAGAGAUAGUAUAGAGAAGAGAGAAAGAUAAAGAGAAGUUAGAAAUUUCUCUUGUUUAGCAAGAAUAUUAAUUGCAAAGAGAGUAAAAGAUGGAUCUCAUACCUUUAUGUUUUCUCUUCAAAAGGGAGAAGAAAGAGGGAAGAAUAAAAAAAAUGUCUAAUAUACCAUUGAUUUUUGCAAUUAAUCAUCAAUUAUAAUAUUGUCUUAUUAUUUUUGUCAUUGAUACCAAAGUUGAUAAUCCUAUUAAAAGAGUCUAAUAAUCUUAAUUCAAUCACAAAAAGUCUAAUAAUCUUAUUUUUCCCUCUCAUGCAUGUUUUACCAUAUGGAGGACCAGAUUGCUUGCUUUUUUUAAUUGACUCAAUAUUCCUUCCCAAUUCCCACAAUCCCACGUGUUUGUCUUUUACCAUGUCGGUGUUUUUACCCUUUUCGUACUUUCAUAAAAUUUUGUCUAACUUGGACAACAUAAACCCACGAAUGUUGGUGUUUUGAACAAAACUGACAAAACUAAUGGUAUGCGUUUUGUCCCCAAUGGUUUUAACCAUAUUUGACAAAUUAUAAAACCCUCCAUUUUUUCCAGAUUUAGCAACAACCUUUUAUAUGGAAUAUAAACAAUUAUUUUUUUUUACAAUAAUUAAUUUUGAAUUUUAAAAACAUUUAUCUUAAAUUAAAUUUCGUAAAAAUAAUGAAAAGGUUUUCAAAAAAUAAUGAAAACAUUUAUAUUAAAUAAUGAAAAACAUUUAUCCUAGCACCAAAGAACACAACUCUUGAUGGCAUCAGUUUAUGAAAAAGUUUUCAAAAAAUAAUAUUUCAAAUUUUGAAUCAACAUUUUGAUUAGGUUGCAACCAUCAAAGUCAUUUGCUAAAAACUUAUAAAUAGUAACUCAGUUUUAUCGCAACAUAGUGUUAAGAUAAAUGUUUUUUAAAAUUCAAAAUUAAUUAUUGUAAAAAAAAAAAGAUUGUAUUCCAUAUAAAAGGUUUUUGCUAAAAAUGGGAAAAAUAGAGGGUUUUAUAAUUUGCCAAAUAUGGUUAAGAACCAUUGUGGCACAAAAAGCAUAACAUUAGUUUUGUUCAAAACACCAACAUUUGUGGGGGUUUAGGUUCUCCAAGUUAGACAAAAUUUUAUGAAAGUACAAAAAGGGCAUGAAACUAUCAAGACAACAUUUUUCAAUGCAUGCCAGUCAACUUAUCAAAAAUACAAAGAAGAAAUGAGAAAAUGGCCAAAUAUAAUUGAAGAUUAAAAAAUUAAAACACAUUGUUAUAGCAUCACAGAAGAUGGAGCUAUCUUUAAAUUUCUUCUUGGAGUUUUUUGCUGCAACAUAAAAUACAAAAAAAGAAGAUGGUAAAUUGUUAUGGAAAGCAAAAUUGAUGGAAAAUUAAAACGUAAGAAGAAAUGAGAGGGAUAUAAUAAGUAUAAUGGAUUGUUACUAAUUGAGGGAAAAUAAAAGGGUUAUUGGUGGCUAGUAACUAACUGAUGAAAUAGAAAUUUUAUAGUUCAAAGAAACCAAUAAAUGAAAUGGAAUAGGAAGAAUUAGCAACAUAUCUAUUAAUUCAUUGAGAUAAUAGUUUUUGUUUAUUUUCUAAAUAAAUUAUGAAUGGAAUAAGAUAAUACCUCAAUUAAGGCCCCACCACUAUGUGAUUAAGGAGGAAAAAUUAGGGUUUAGCUUAGGAUACUUAGUAGGAUUUAGUAAGUAUCCUAACCUAAACCCUACUUUUUUCAAUUGAAAUUUGACAUAAGAACAUAAACUUACUGCUUUCUAACAAGAGGUUAAUAAUGAGAAAGAAUGGCUAGAAAAUAGUCUUACUUGGUGAUGAAGUCUAAUUGCUAGUCCUUAAGGUUGGUCCUUCGUCCUCUUUUCUACCUCGUCCAAGACACUCUCUAAUGUUUCCUUCCUCCCCCAGUUUCUCUAUUUUCUAAGUGUAGAAUUAAUAAAGUGAUGAAUGAAUAAAAUGAGGGAGAUAACCGGUUGUUAUUAGUGGCACUAUUUUUAAGGAGUGAGAAGUGAAACUGUCCAUAUAACUAGGAAGGAGAUUGCUAUGAUACUCCUAACUACUAGAACAUGUGGUAAUUGAAUCAAGACCAAGUCAUUUCUGUUUACUAUAUGAUAAUAGGCAUAAAAUAAAAUUUAAAGGGUACACAAUCAAAAUAUUUAACUAUAAAGUAAUUAACAAUAUAUUUAGUCAAACAUAUAUUUGCCACAUAAAUUUUGUCGUCCACUCCUUACCUUAAUACAAUUUGUCAUGCUAGUUAAUUAAUUCAUUCAUUAGUCAUAGUCAUAAUAGCAAAAUAAUGCAACCAUUUAAUAAUUAGUAGAAAUGAUUUGACUAUAUAAUUCAAAAAAAACAUAAGAUAAAACAAUCACUUAUAAAUUAUAAACACAAUAUUGUAAUAAUCAAAUUAUAACAAAAAAAAUCAGAAUUAAAAAAGAUAAAAUAUCCAUAUAUUAGAGGGAAAAAACACCACCAUGGUAAAAGACAAACACGUAGGAUUGUGGGAAUUGGUAAGGAAUAUUAAGACAAUUAAAAAAGCAAGCAAUCUGGUCCCCCAUAUGCUAUUGUUUUUGAAAAUGUUGAAAUUUAUAUUAAAAUUUGAAUUGAUUGAUCUUGAUCCAACAACCAUUGAUACACUGAAAUGUGUGAAAAUUUUAACAACUAGAAAUUUGAUUUCGGUCUUUAGACACCAAAACAAAGGAUAAAAAAUCCAUACAAACUUGCAAAAAGAAAAGAAAAACAUGAGACAUGAACUUGGUGAGAUUUAUUAAAGAUUUGUGUUGCAAUUUGCGAGUUGAUUUAGCAAAAAGUUACUACCUCUGUUCCUUUUUAACUGUCAUUUUUGACAUUUUACAUAAAUCAGGACACUCAAUAAAUGUUACUUUUUCUUAUACAAUCAUUUAUACUUUUACUAUAAUAACCUUAGUCAUUUAAUAUCUUAUUCCAUAUAUUUCUCUCUCUGCAAUAAAUAACUAAGGGUAAUGUUGGUAAAACAACAUUUAUUGUUGCAUUGAACUUUGAAAGUGAUAGUUAAAUAGGAACAAAAAUUUUAUCCGAAAGUGACACGUAAAAAGGAACAGAGGUAGCAGUUUUUAGAUUAGUGGUUAUUAGUUUGGAGAAAUGAUAUUUGAACAACCAUAUUUUACAACUUUUGUGACAACUUUCUCUCUCAUACUCACAUUAUUUUUUUACUUUCUCUCUCUAUUGCUUUGGUUUUUGUGCCACUACCUCAUUUCCUUUGUAAAAUUUUGGUUGUCACAAAAAUUGUCACAUAUAUAAAUGUUCAAAUAACACACCUCAUUAGUUUGUUAGUAAAUUACUAGUUAUGUUAGUUUUAGGUUUUGAUUAGUGGAACUCUUGGUUAGAAUUUUUUCGGCUUCCCUUAGCUUAUCAAUUGAGCUGUUUGUUUGGACAUUUAUCUUUUUUAUACUCCCUCUGUUUUAUAAGGAAUGUCACUUUAAUCAAUAAAAUUUGUUUUAAAAUGAAUGUCACCUUACAUUUUUAAUAUAACUUUAAUUUUUUUAUCCAACUUUACCCUCAAUAAAUACUCUAAUUUUUCUCUCACAUUAUUUUCAAUGCAACUUUAAGUUUGUUUUUUUCUUAUAAGUAAAGAGACUUUAAUAAAAGUGUUAUGUCUAAUGAUUAUUUCAUUCAAUUUCUUAAUAUGUGUGCCAAAUCCUUAAACAAAAUUCAUUGUGAAACGGAGGGAGUAUAAAACAAAUAUGUAGAUUAUAGUUGGAUAUACUAUAAUUUUAACACUUUCUUUUUGUUUUUCCAUAUUUCUUCGGUUGUGGUAAUAUUAUUUGAUGUUUGUCGCACACAAAAUGUGAUUAUCUUUUUCAGCUGAAAUUCAAACAUUUUUUUUUUAAAAGUAAUCUAGUGGCUAGAAAAUUCACCCUUUAAGGUAAAUAAAUGUGGAAUCCGAAGUUUCAACUCAUUUUACAUAUACAAAUGUUCCUACCAACUAAGUUAUGCUCACUCAUGUGAACCUGAAAUUCAAACCAUUACUCACCAAUUAGUUGUAAGAUUAUAGUCUCUUAUGUUAGACUCAACCCUUUGAUAACAAUAUGUAUAUUUUAAUUAAUUUUUUUAUUGGAAAUUGAGAGUAUACAUUGCUAGUCAUAUUUUACCACUUGUUCACGUUGUAAGAGUAUAAUCUCUUCCGUUAGACUCGACACUUUGAUAAUAAUUUAUACUCCCUUCGUUUCAUAAUAACUGCACCAUUUUCAAUAAAAAAGUGUUCCAAAAUAAGUGAGCCAUUUCACUUUUCAAUACAUGAUUAAUUACAUUUUUCCCUUUAUAACUCUAAUUAAUACCACUUUCAUCACUCUCAAUUCAAUAUAUUCCACUUUGUAUUUAUGAUAUUGGAGAAUACACCAAUACUUAACAAGAGCACUUAAAACUAUUUUUCUCUCUCCUUCAUGUAUACAUUUGUCUUAAUAUGUAUGAUUUGAGCAAAUGGCUCAGUUAAUCUGGGACGGAGGGAGUAUUUUAAUUAUUUUUUUAGGAUUAAUUGUUCAAAUUAACCUUGUAAUAUGCACGAAAUCUGAAAAAUAAUCAUAUAACAUAAAAAAACACAUAUUUCACCCAUGUAAUUUGAGAUUCUUCCAAUUUUUGAUCCGUUAAUAUACGCAAAGUUCAAAAUAAUAAUGACAUAGUGGCUGAAAUAUGUCUUCCAAUUAACGAUAAAUAGUUCAAGAAAACUCAAAUUUCAAGUCGGAUUGAGAUAAAUUUUAGUCGGUCUUUACUUUAUCUCUUACCAAACUCCAAUAUACCAAAAAACCAGUUAAGAUUCUUGCUCGUGUGUUAUUUCUUUGCAGAAAUUGUCCGAUGAAGGAUCUGAUGGCUUUCACAAGGCAGUGAGAAUAGCCAUUAGCUGCAUCAAUGACCAUAAUAAGUAUUAUGAAAAGGUGAGAUUUAGAAAGAAAAACAAACAUAUUCAUUUUUGAAACCAAAUUGACUAAUCUUAAAAAGACUCAUAUAGUAAGAGAUUCAUAAUUUUGAAGACUUUUUUCAAAUAUAAAUAAUUUUGGAAUUAAAUUAACGACACUAUACAAUUUCAAGGAACAAAUUGAUAAUUGACUCAUAAUUCUUACUCUGAAUCUAUUAUAUGUAGGUUUUACGCAAUGCGAUGGAAAUCGUUGGAAUCAAUGAGGAUGCACUCACCCGUGUGAUUGUCACUAGGGCUGAGAAGGACUUGGAGGACAUAAAAAAGGUCUAUUACAAGAGAAAUAGUGUCCAACUUGAGCAUGCAGUGGCCAAAAAAACUUCAGGAGAUUACAAGAAAUUUCUCCUUACUCUGAUGGGGAAAGAAGAAUAAUACAUGUACUUUUAGUCAAAAAAAAGAAUAAUAAUGUACUAUAUAUAUAUAUAUAUAUAUAUAUAUAUAUAUAUAAUUUGUUUACUUUGGAGAAGUUGUAACACACUCUUUCCAACGCACUCUUCUAUUGGCCGAAAUUUACUAGCAUCACCAAAUGUAUGUGAAACCUACAUGAAUUCAUGCAAAUCUAUAUCAAGGCUUUGUAUGGCUUCUGUGUAAAUUGUUCAUGCUAGUGUAGUGAGAGUUUGAUCUUGGAAAUUAGCAUGAAUCUAUAUUUGGCAUAUAACAUGAAUCUAGCAGAGCAAAUUGAGGAAAUUCUGGCAGGAAACCCGAGAGCUAUGCAGUAGCCAGUGCAGAAUGUUAUGAAUCGAUCACAAGGAACUGUAUUAAAUCUUGUUGCAACGACAAAUAGAAAACAACAGAAUGGUAUUACUCAAAUAAAACUUUUCUUUUAACAACACAAGUACAACAAAUAGUUGAAUAUUCAUUUUCAUUUAUGUUAUGAUUUAAUGAAAUGGUUAAGAAAAUGAUCCACAUUUCGAUAAACAAAAACUGGAAAAUUAAUUUUGUUUAUCGCUUAGAAAUGUAGAUAUUAACCAGUUUCAACCUAAGCGAAAAUUCACAGACACAACAUAAAAAUAUAAUAAGAAUUUGGAUACUACUUGUAGCCAAGCCAAGCAAAGAGUAGAAAAAAUGAAAACAAUGGUAGACAAUAAAAUGCAUUGCAAAUGAAAAGAAGAAAUGAUUUUAAUGAUUGAUUCCAAAUCAGAGUGAAAGAAUAUUUUAAUACACAUAUGGUACAAUAAGUCAUCUCUCUUAUAGCUACAUUAUAGCUUCCCUAUUACUCCAUUAUAGUCCUUGGUGUUGGCUUAUUGGUUUACCUUCUGUAAUCCUUACGUCAUUCUCUCUUCUUUUUUUCUUUACAGCAGCAGUAAACCCAGUAAACCCAUGGUGUGUACAAGAAUAUGAAAUUUAGCUGACCCAAUCAACACCUGUCUGUGGUCACCCUGAAAACAGAAUUCAACUCACAAUCAGUACUUUCAUCAAUAUUUUCAUGCCUUCGAUAAAUACACACAUUUAUGAUUCAUAUAUGCUUGCUUGCAAGCUAAUAAAUCACAUUAAGCAGUUUUAGGAAAAGUGCAUGACGGCAUAAGCAAUGCAGAAAUGCUAUACAUUAAUGGGUGCAUACUUUUUGAAUGGACAUAUUAAUGAAUCAUUAUGUUUUGUAAGAAUUGGAUAAGUUGUGUUAUAGUCUUACAGAAUACUUUAUAAUCUUUAUGUAACUUAGAAGAAGGCACUGUUUCAAGUAUGAAAUAUGAAAUCAAAUGGCAUUUCUACACAAUAAAGUUUGGAAAUAUAAACAAAUGGGUGCACCUGUUAUUUUCAGCAGCUAAUCAUCCAGUAUGAUAACAAUAGGGAUGUGACGAAUUGUAUGCCAACACUCUCCUCCCUCCUUUUGGUACUUCUGCUCAAGUAAUUGACAAUUCCGAAUCUCCAAUGUAGAAAGGGAGUUGGGAAGACCCUCCUCUGGCAAGCGUUCAAGACUGGGGCAAUGUCGAAUAGAUAAAGAUUUGAGAGAUUCAAGGUGGAGAAGACCCUUGAAGUUUAUUAUUCUUAACUUUGAACAUUUUCCCAAUUGAAAAUAGUUAAGAGUUGGUGGCAGUAGAUUCUCCUCUGGGAAAGACUCCACAUUUUCAAAGUCAUCGCUAACCUUGAAACUUUUAAGAGAAUUAAGUUGGAAUAAACCCCACUCCCCUCUCGAAGCAAUUAGUUUUGGGCACUUUGUUAUUUCAAGGCUGAUCAGGGAGGAAGGCAACCCUUCCCUAGGAAAUGACUCUAGUUGUGGACAAUCAUACAAACUUAAAUAUUUAAGAUUGGUGAACAAGUGUAGGGAAAAUGGAAUUGAGGAGUGCCAGCAGCCACCUAUAAAGAGUGUGCGAAGAGAAUUAUAGCAAGGCAAAUCCAAACAAGACCAUUCUAGUUUUGCACAAUCGAUGUCACCAACAAACAAACUUUCAAGAAAGGCAUUGUUGAAUAGAAGUUUCUCCAGGGAAGACACAAUGAGUUGAGUUCCUGUUAGGGUGACCCGUGUCAAUUUUGAUGGCAGAUUAUUUAUCAAAAUGUUUUUACAUCUCACCAAUCGUAGGUCAUCAAUAUUAGAAGCCUCGGGAAUUGAAGCCUCUAACUCUUGGCAAUCAAAAAUCGACAAUUGUUGCAGAGAAGGAAGGUUUUUGGGUAGACCUUUUUGCAAUUUGGGACAAUUUCUUAUAGAAAGCUGUUUAAGCAAAGGGAAACACUCAACACAUAACCAUUUCUUCCAAUUGGACAUGUUCUCAAAAUACAAAAAUUCGAGAAACUUGAAUGGAUCAUUUGAUGAAUUAAUGAUCUCUAUUCCAUGACAACCUGAAAUAUAAAGCUUCUUGAGAUAGGGAAACAACUCAAAUGGUGGCAAAUGGGAACAAAAUUCACAUCCUACCAGAUCCAGAGAUUCUAAAUUGAACAAAUGACUACCCCCAAGCCAGUUUGGAAAGCUAGUGCCUCGAUAGUGUUUGAUGGUCAGCAUAUUAAGGUUACUAUUUGGUUCAAGGGCCUCCAAGACAGUCAUUUCCCUUUCAAUUAUCAAGUUAUUGAUUUCUCUAGUGGCAUUGUCACUGUAUAUGAUAUGUAAUUCUUCCAAAUGCUUCUUAUCUUUUAAUUUUGCUUCUAGAGCAUCUGCAGGAAUAAUGACAUUUUCUAACCCUGAAAUACAAAGUUUCCCUUGAAGCUGGUUGAGUUCCGUCAACUCCUUAAUAUCAUACCCAUGCUCCUUUACCACAACAAAUUUAGUCAACGUCUGAAGAUGGGUUAGCCUCCCUAUAUCUUUUGGCAUCAUCUUUAUGUGAGUUCUUUCCAGAUCAAGAUGAUGUAAAUUGCUAAGUUUGUAAAAAUCUGAAGGGAGCUCAGUCAAUGGACAAUUUUUCAAUAGCAGUGUUUGUAAAUUAUAUAGGUUACAAAUGGAAUCAGGCAAACUUUCAAUUCUUGUGUAAGAUAGGUCUAGAUAACGCAAAAGCUUUAAAUUGCUUACCUCAUCAUCUAACUUUGGAAGGAUACAACCAUUCAAUGAUAACAUCCGCAAACAUUUUAGCUUUGAAAACAAAUCUUGCUGUAUCGCGUUGCUUAUGUUCUGGUGGAAAACAUCAGAGUUUAGGUAUACCAGUAAACUACGUAAUCCCUUUGUCUUAUAAAUAUGCUGUGUCAUUUUAUUAGCAUCUUUUCUUUGAAAUUGAGAACACGAAAUGUGACGUGUCCUUUCAGUGACAUCUUUCUCCUUAUCGCCCUGUAUCGCCAAGCAAAACUCUCCUACCAUUGAUUUUGCUAAAUCGUUGACAAGAUCAUGCAUUACAAACUUCGUACUACCAUCUGUUGAUUGCUGGAAAAAUGAAAUUGAUACUAGAUCAACGAAUAAUUCAUUACCGAAAUCUUGUUCACUUUUGUCAAUUCCGCAGCACUGCAACAAACCAUCUGCUGCCCAAAGCUGGACUAGUUCACCCUUUCCAAAACUGUAACCUUUAGGAAAUAUGGAACAAUAAGAAAAGCAACGCUUAAGAAUAGAAGGGAGACAAUGGUAACUCAAUCUCAGUACUGAAUUAAUGUUACUCUCGCCCUCUGAUAAACGCCACAUAUCUGUCUCCAAUAUCUUAACCCAAUCACGUUGAGAAAACUUUCUUCGCAAGAGAUUUCCCAAAGUUUUUACAGCUAAUGGCAACCCUCCACACUUGCCUAUAAUUUUCUUACCAAUAGAUUCAAGAUUUGGAUAUUCACUUGCAUUCCUUCCGUAAAAAGCAUGUCUCACAAACAUACUCCAACAUUCACUCUCCUUCAAUUUCUCUAAAUUAAGCUCCUUGGUGGACUUCAUGAUAGAUGCCACCUCCUUGUUACGUGUUGUAACAAUAAUUUUACUUCCAGUAGAUCCAUGGCAUAAGGGAAGUAGUAAGCGCUCCCAACAUUCCACACUCCCAUUCCAGACAUCAUCCAAAACAAGAAGAUAUUUCUUACCUGUUAGUCUCUGCCGCAGUUGAUAUUGGAGUAGAUUGAACUCUUCAGCAUCUGUUGAAGAGUGAAAUGAGCUCAUAAUUGCUUUGGUGAGUCCAACAACAUCAAAAGUUUCUGAAACAUAGACCCAAGCUUUAAGUUCAAAAUGCUCCUGCAUCCUGUGGUCGUUGUACGCAAGCUGAGCAAGAGUGGUCUUACCCAUUCCACCGAGACCCACUAUGCUGAUUAUUGGUACAUGAUUGCCACUGUUUAUGUCAGACAGUAAAAAAUCAAUUAACUCCUCCUUGUCACCAUCUCUACCAUAUAUGCUCGAUUCAUCCACCAAAGCUGUAGUUGGAAAUCUAUCUAAGGGUUUCCAACUAACGCCACCUUCACUACUAGCAAAAGCCUCAUGUUUCAAUCCGAGCAUAUCCUUUUGCUUUGCAAGAAAUUCUAGCUUCUCUAGCAAUUCUUUAAUCCUAGAUUCAAAUGGAUUAGUGAAAGAUGAAAAGAAGUCGAAUACCUUGCUAGUAGAAGGUUGAGAUUCAGCUUUCAGCUUCUUCAGUGGUGCAUCAGUUGCAAUCUCAUCUAACAGCUGGUCAACCUCAUAUGCAUAAUGUUUAAGAUCAUCAAGCCACUUCUUCACGUACAUGCUUUGGUAUUGCUUCAUCUCCGCUUCUUCCAACACAUGGUUGAUAGAAUUGAGUGUUAUUAGAAGUUUCUCCAGCAGAUUAACAUCAAGUUUGCUUCUACGGAAAUAGUCAAUGAAAUCAUUGGAAGACAAUUUCUCAAGAGCCACUUGAAAGAAUGAUGAAAGAAACGCUCCACCAACCAACUCUCUCAUGGACAUGGUGUUUUUUUUUUUUUUUUUUCUUUUUCUAUUUUCUGUUUUUGAAUUGUGGAAAUUGAUCAACAAGCUUAAGAUGCUCACUGCAAGAUGGUAAUGUUUUGCUCAGUUAGUUGAAAUGAAAGAAGAAUCAUUCAAUGACAAAUUAUUAUUGAGUGGAGCUUUUCUUUAUUCAUGUUAAACAAGGACUGAUUAACUACUAUGUGUUUCUUAGUGAAUUUUUUUAAUUGAUGACAUAAUGCACAAUAAUUUUUCUUAUUUAACAACAAGGACGGCAGAGAAAGUGUCCUGAUUCCAUUGAUUUAAGUCUCCUUAACUAACUAUAAUAUAGCAACAUGCAAUAGUUUAUUAUCCUACUUUGAUAUUUUACAAUAAAGGAAGCUAACCCGAAAUUUCGUAAGCUCUUUAUAUAUCCAAUUAAAAUAGUAAUUUAGAGAAGAAUAAAUUGAAAGAAACAAGUAUAUGCAACUUUAUUUGUUUUCUUAGCCUUCCAAUUUCUUGUAGAAAAGGUCGUAAUAAUUUGGUGUUUGGUUGAGAGCAGUGGCAUAUCUUAAUAAUAUACAAAAAAUUAUUUUUGUACUUGAAAAACAUACUUGAUUUACAUGUAUCCUCUACCCGGUUUCAUUUUUUUUUGAAACCGUUGGAGAAUCAACUCGUAUCAAUGUUGUUGAACACAUAUCUCUCAAUAUAAAACAUUUGCUAUCGUACAAUGAUCAUUGCACGACAUCAAGUGUUGUAAUUCCUCUCACCAAGCAAUGGAUGCGAUAUACGAGAACAAUUCCAAGAUUUUCUUGAUUCGUGAUGAAUAAUGGAUUGGUUUGUUGAUUGAAAUCCUUGAUGAAAUGAUUAUGAAGAUAAAAUUAAGUUGAAGAUAAAGAAGAGGGAUAAAGCAUGAGGAAAUGGAAAGAGGAAUGACUUAGAAAAUGUGAGAUAAUUGAAGCAGGGUUUUCCUUCUAUCUGAUACUAGUUACAAACCCGUGCUUCGCACGGGUUCAAUAACGUUUUUGAUAAACAAAAAUAAAUCGAAGGAAGAUAUGUUAAAACGACGGAACAUUAUGAUUCAUCAUAAAAUAUGUAUGGGUUGGUUCCAAAGCAUUAUAAAGAUCUGCUGUAGAAAAAGGGCAUGUUCUAUUUUGUUCAAAAGAUUAGGAAAACAACAUUAUAAUUAACAUGAUACUAAUUUGAACCAAUGAAGGAACCAACAAUGUGCAGAUUAACGUUACAUAAUAGUUAGGUUUAUAAAAGAGACUCCAAGUGUCAAAGACUAACUAAAAAGAGAAUUUUGUCAAUAUUUACAUCAGACAAAAUGAAAAGAACAAAUGACAUCCCAAAGUCAAAAUAGUUUACGAUUACAGUCCAAAGCGAUACGUCAAAAUAGUAGAAGUUUAAAUAGUUCAGCAGCAAAUAUCUACUUUAGAACAACUCGAACGUGCAAGUUCUUCGGUGACUUUUCGAGACCAAAUAUGAGCUUACCACCUUCUAUCAUCACAUGUUCUCUGCAGAAAUUGAUCCAUAGCCCACCCAAGUAUUUUUCAUAGCUUGCUCUUUCGGCGGUAAUGAGGCGACACUUAUACUUUCUCUGUAUGCGAAUAUAGUUACAUAUAAUUUAUAAAAUAAAGGUAGCUUAACUGAUUUAAGCUAAAGAAAAUGUAUCAUGACUUCUAAUUUAUCUUCCUAUUAUCUUCCUAUAAAGUCUAGAUAAAUACAUGUAUGUGCAUUAUAUGAACCCCGUUGACCAAUUAACAUUGUUGAAACAAAUGGAAAUUAAGCAUCACUCCCGCAUGUGCAUCUAUAGCUAGCACCAUUUGACAUUGAUGUCUUCGAACAUUUGGUGCAACUCUUAUAAUACCAUCCAAACUGGUUAGGAUUGAAUUUAGUUGUUUUCCAAAUAGUGAUGAAGUAUGUAUCCUAACCCAAAUUAUGCACAUGAAAUAAAGAAUAAUGCAAUAUGUAUUUUUAACUUGUGCAUCAAAAAACUCAAAGCAUGUUCGUGUAUAAAAAAAGCAGACCAUGACUAAGUUUAUAAAUUCAGUAAUUGGCCUAACCUGAGGCAGAUUGAAAAAAUCGUUGUACAAAGUACGUUGAGAAGAAGCCGAACUCUAACUUAAGUUAUGACUGAUACUUUGACUCUGAGCUUGAGAAGUGUUAAGGUCACGACAACAAUUCAAGAAACAUGGUCAAAAAACAAUCAAAUCAGAUUGUGAAAUAAUAAGUUACUCUAAUACUAUAUUUUGAAAUCAUAAUGCAAACUUACUAAGUCUUAAACUUCUCAACAACCGGAUAAUGUAGGUUGAUGAGCAGCCUCGAACCUGACCAAUUGUUACAUAUAUUUGGGUUGCCAAUGACUAUAAAAUGGAAGAACUCAAGGUAAAUAGAUGGUAAAUGAUCAAGCUACGGAGUAUUUUUCCCAUAGUGUUACAUCAACUAUAUUCUCACUGCAUAAGGAAAGACAUCUUUCAGGUCAUUAUCAAACUUAUACAAAAUUCUAUCAUCUGAUGUUGACAAAUUAAAAAAUAAUACCUUUUAUCUUUCAACACAAUGUUCGUACACAGUUUCUUUCUAGUCCCAAUUGAUGUUGUCUUGACAAUCUCAUGAAGAAGCCCGAUGAUUUCUUAAAAAAAAUAUUACAUCUAUAAUAAUAUUAUAAUCGGAGAAAACAAAGAAAUAAAUUAAAGCACAUAACUAUAUCAUAUAAAAUGUCAGAUUUGAAUUUUCCAUCUUGAAUUUUCUUAAAUGACUUAAAACGAAAUUCAUGAGUAAGAACGUUAGUUAACUUGUCAUACUUCUGCACCUUUGUAUCAGAACCAAAAACAACCCUAAAGAGAUUAAAUACAAUGUCAUUAUCAAACACAUGACAAUUAUACAAAGUAUAAGUCUUGUUUUCCUCGAUCAAAGCCUUUCAAUGCUCCAAUUCUCUAUACCGAGUUAUUACAUGAGCUUGAUCACCCUAAAUUCGAGAAAGAAAUAAAAAAAUGUAAAUAAAUCAAAAUGUACACUAAUAAGUAACAUUGAUAAAUCAUAAAGGAAAUUACAACAAAUCUUAACUAACUCAUCUAAUCCUUGCAUCACAAAUAAUGAGCUUCAUAUGUUGAUUCUCAUUACUACCAUUUACAAUCCAAGAAUCCAGCACUCCAAAUCCUAUUUUCCAAAUGUCCAAAUCAUUUUUUAGAUCCUUAAUGUAGUCAUAAUCCCUUGACAUCGAAAGUCCUAUAUAAAGAUACAAUAAUACAUCAUUUAAUUUUAUUCCCUUUGUUCAUUCUGAUAUCGAAAGAAGCUAACAUAUUCCUAUGUGAUCAAUUUUUGUAUCAUCAAAUCAACCUGAUCUUAAAUGCACAAAUUUCUGAAUCAUCAACUUUUUGGACGUCAAUGAUAUGACCAAAACAAAUUUCACCAAUCAACUUUUGUACGGCUCAAUCAUAUAGGAAAGAAUAAACCAAAUAUGAAAAUUGUUAUGGCUUUAUGAUUACUCACAAAAACUAAAAUAACCCACAUACAUCAAUUUUUUUUCAACCACAGUACCAGAAGCUAAAAUAACAAUUGUGUCAAAACCUUAUCAUGAGCUAAAAUUCAAUCAUCAUGAUUCAUCAAUGUUACUUAUUAGUGUACAUUUUGGUGUCUUUCAAAAAGAUAAGAAUUUAUAUUAUAUGAUAUUAUAUUUGUUACAUUGUUGGUGCCAUGGAAACCUAUAUGUUUAGUUUUUUCGAAUAAGAAAAAGAUAUGCAUAGUUUGUUACAAUAUAAGGGUGCAAAAUAUAUAUAUAAGUAUAAUUUUUCUAGGCAUCUAGACCUUUUUUGAAGAUAAGAAUAAAAAUAAUCAUACGCAUUAUGCAACUUAAAAAAAAAAUAUACGCAGUAGCGUAACAAAAAAACAGACACAUAUAAAGUAUUACUUUAAGCGCUAAUAUGUGUAUUCGUAUAUAUUUGCGAGGUUGAAGAAAGAAAAUAAAAAUAUUUGGUAUCAUUAAAUGACAGCGUGAAUAAAAAUAUUUGUGAGGUUGUGAUGAUUAAACGAUAUUGAAUUUAAAUGUAUAAGUGAUAAAAAGAUAAUAAAAUUCCUUUGAAAAAAAGGUAAUAAAAUUAAAUGGGACCUCCUUAAAAAAAAUUAAAUGGAAGAAAAAAUCAUAUUGAAAUAUAAUAUUAAAAAACAAAAGAAAAGGUUCCCAGUGUGAGUUGAAAAGAUGUGCUUUUGAAAUAAAUUGUCGAGAAGUAGUUUUUUAAAGUAACAUUCAACAACUUUUGGCCAAAGCUCAUUCCAUUCAAUUUUAUGCAUUCAAAAAAAUUACUUUUUUUUAGUAAGUAAACAGCGUGAGUUAAAAAGAGGUGCUUGUGAAAUAAAUUAUCGAGAAGUAGUUUUUAAAGUAACAUUCAACAAUUUUUGACCAAAGCUCAUUCCAUUCAAUUUUAUGCAUUCAAAAAAAUUACUUUUUUUUAGUAAGUAAUUAAUUGAUACUAUGUUUGACCUAACUUCUCCUUAAAAAUGUAGAAAAGUUGAAAAAAAAAACCGGGUCAAGCGAUACCUUAAUAGUUAAAGUUAUCAAAAAUAUAAAAAUUAUAAAAUAAUUAAAAAAUUGUGAGGGGCAAAAUGGGAAAUGCACCCAUAUAAUGGUGAGGUGGCAACAACACAAUUCCACCAAUUAGAAAAUUACAAAAAUACCUUUCCUAGGGGCAAAAUGGGAAAUUUAUAGGGCAUCAACUUUAAUAGUAGUAUAUAGAUCAUAUCAACACUAAGCAAAAUUGAAGAAUCCUUUCAUUCUCGUUAUUGAUGAAAUGAGUAGUGAUACACCUUAUAUUACGAUAGUAAUUAGUAACUACUUGGUAAUUAAUCAACUGAGCAUUAAAUUCCUCUUCUCCUUAUUGACCAAAGGGCACCACCCAUCUGCUACAAAAAUCGUGUCACGCUACACAAAUUGUAUCACGAUUCUUCACAUUUCACAAAAACAUUUUUGAGUCACUUUACAACACAUGUAAACUUUAUUCAAUUCACAAACUCAACACACAUAAACUUCCGCAAACAAAGUUCGUGUGAACUUACACAAACUCAGUUUGCAUAAAACUUGAAUUUCAAAAUGCACUUAAACUUUAAUAAGGAAACUCACUAACAUAUGCAAUAUCGUAAUAAUGGAAGCUUUGUGACUCUAUCUUUAAUCAUUCAUUUUGCUUCAUCAUAUAUUCAUGGAUGUUUUUGAUAGAGGGGAGGUGAAAAUUUUAGAUACAGAGAUGAAAAAUGAUUUUUGAAAAAUUUAUAUGAACAAGGGCAAUUUUGGGUAAUAUAAUUAAAUUUUAUUUAAAUUUGGGUAAGACCAAGGACAACCCUAAGUCACUGAGAAUGUGGGUCUUGGUCCUCCUAUCUUUUGGGGGGAAAUUGAAUACUAUUUGUAUUAUUUUUAACUAAAAUAAUGAUUUUUGUAAUAUGAUAUAUAUACAUAAUAAUAUAGAUAUUUUUGUUAAUAUGACACAUACAUAAUAAUCGUAAGAGAACAAUUAUGAAGUAUAUUUUUUUGGAAACAAUUAUAAUGUAUAUUUAUGUUUUCAAAAUUAAAAUAGUGUUUGUGUGUGCGUGUGUGUGGGUGGGUGCGUGCGUGCGUUUAUUGACCUCACUACUUAAGAAUUAUGGAUUCGUCUCUGAUAACACCCAAUCAGAGAAGAGGACAAUGACGACUGAAACGAGCGGUAAUCGAAAACACAACAAAUUGACCAAAUAUAGAGAACACAAUUCUCACAUCGUCAUUGUUGUUGAGUUUUAUCUUGGUGAACCAAACACGUCUAUCGAAAAACAACGAUACUCAACACUGGCCACUAUUCUUGUGUCGCCAAAGGAAAGAUGGUCAACGUAGGGAUUGGUCCCACAAGGACAAUCACCUAUAGGUAACAAUGAAUUCUUCUUCACAUGAAUGGGAAAGAAGAAUAAUUCAUGUACUUUUAUUCAAUGAAGAGAAUAAUUAAUGUACUUCUUUCAAAGAUAUAUAUGCAAUUUGUUUACUUUAGAGAAGUUGUAACACACUCUUCUAUGAGCUAAAAUUUACUAGCCUCUUCAUAUUUAUGUGAAACCUACAGGAUUUAGUAGAACCUAGAUUUAAACUAGUGAAAUUCGUUCAAAUCUCUAUCAAGGCUUUGUAUGGCUCCUGUGUAUAAUCUUACAAAACAACAAUGAAACAUUUAAUGUAACCAUUUACCAGAAUAAAUUCUUUGGUUUUCAAGGUAUUCAGCAAAGGUUGAGCUCCCAGAACCUACAAUAUGGAGAUCAAAACUUAGAGCGAAAGAUAAGUCCACAGAUCAAUCUGUCACUAGCUAGCAUGGACCACGCUUUUAGUCCCUAUAAAUUAGCAGAGAUACUUAUAAAUUACAAUUGAUUUCAAGGUUAAAAAUGUUUAGUCCCAAAAAAUUUCACAAAGUUUAGUCCCUGCAUUAAUCUUGUCCCUAUUAACUUGUGAUCUGAGUUAGACACAUAGAAAUUACAGAAAUCGCAAUAUUAAUAUCACAUUCCUAUUUUUGUCUUCUCAUUGCACCUACCGAUCUCAGCUGUUUUGGAUAGGUUUACCAUAUCAGUUUGCAUGGGUUCUCAAUACUAGUGUGUUACAUUUGGAAGCAUAAAGAAAUACUUUCAUUGUGUACCUUACUGAAGGUUCUCCAACAAUCACGCUUGUAAAGUAAUUGUUGUGAAUUCCGGUCUCAAAGUCACACCAAUACGAACUAUGAUGUGUGGAGCAAAGGAAAGUAGUAACCAAUAACAAAGUGAAUGCAAGCAAUAAUCAACAAUAACAGCACCUAGAUCUAAUCUAGGAAUCAAAGUGAAAAGCACAAACCACAAGCAAAAUAUAAAAGGAGAGAAGAGAGAAACAAACACACCAAAGAUUGUUCACCAAGUUCGGUCCAAACUUGACCUACUCUGGAGAAGAGAUUGAACUCUCCAAUCCACUAUCAAUGAGUUCUUCCAAAGAGAUACAAAAGGGUUACAAGAAAUUAGCUUUGACAAGUUCACAAAGAACAACCCUAAUUUCUACCCUUUUUUCCCAAUCUCACCAAUGAACAAGACACUCAAUGAUUUUCACUCACCAAGGUGUUUACAAUGUUUCCCAACCCAAGAGAACUCUAAUCAAAGACCCUAAACCCUAAAGUUUCUCCCUUUGAUUUCUCAAGUUUCUCUCUCUUCUAGCUCUCCUUCAAAAUCUGCAAAGAACACGUAUAUAGCUGUCUUCUGCGUCAAAAUCGUGUCACGUUUUUCCCCAAUCGUGCCACAAUCGAUGCGUACGAUUCAAGGUACGACCAACCUUAUCCUGAAAAUCUUGCCCAGCAAGCCAAAAAUCGUGUCACGAUUUCCCAAAAUCGUGUCACGAUUGGACGCCUUGAAAACCAGCUCUCGACAUUACCAAAAUCGUGUCACGAUUUCUCUGCUUCCCAACUUUGCAAUUUGAAGACAUACACAACAUUCUCCACCUUGACUUCAAAUUGAUGAUGAUGUCACUUUAACCAUCAACCACCAAUCUCCCUUUUCUUUUCCCUUGAAUUCAACUAUACCAAGUUGCUCCACAAGUCUACAUCAAACCCUCUUCAACCACGAAACGUCUCCCGCUUCCUCGAAGAUCACCUUGCAUCCGAUCACCCUUGGUCUUUUAGGUAAUCACACAAGCCACACCAUACAUUCUUCAAACCCCGGAAUACCUUCCGUCCUCAUGAAGAAUUCACAUGCUCACAACUAGAGCAUAAACACCCAAAGCCUCCAUAGUCGUACCAUUCCCGGUGUCAUCAACUCCACCUUAAGUUGAGCUUUCUCUACCUCAACUUCCAAAUGAGUAUUUCCACUAUGCUUCCACCUUGUAACUCCACCUCAAGGGUUGAUCACGAGUAUUGUUCACACCGCCUCUCUAGGCUAACCAUGAGUAUUCUUACCACCGCCUCUCCAGGCUGAUGUUGAGUGUUUAAUGUCUCUCCAGAUGAACACCAUUCUACAAGGCAUCAAUACCAAGGUCAGAACCCUCACCUUCAUCUUCCUCCCAACAACUCACCACCAAAGCACCCGCAUCCCCAUACUCGUCGGACACAACUUGCGCGAAGCUCUCAUUGUCCUUCGGACAAUCCCUCUUGAAGUGACCCAACUUGUGACACUUAAAGCACUUAUACUUAUCAUUGUUUCCGCUCUUUGAGCUUCCUCAGUUACCUCUACCUCCACCAUUUCCUUCUGAAACACUAAGGUCUUCACUGUUUUCAUCCGCUCUCAAGUCCUUGGACUUGGUCAACUCCUUGGUUCUUAAAGCCGCUUGAACUUCUUCCAAGGUGACAAUGCCUUCUUUGCCAUAGAGCAUGGUAUCCUUAAAGGAUUCAAAUGAUCUCGGUAGAGCACACAACAAGAGUAUAGCCUUGUCUUCGUCCUCAAGUUGCACCUCAAUGUUCUCCAAAUCAUCAAGGAUUUUGUUGAACUCUGCCAAUUGCUCCAUCAAGGUCUUUGACUCCACCAUCUUGAAUGAGUAGAGUUGUUGCUUAAGGAAUUGCCUAUGAGCCAAAGACUUGGUCAUAUACAACGACUCCAACUUUGACCACAUAGAUGCCGCGGUUGGUUCCUUCGCGACAUCCCUUAAAACUUUUUCCUCGAGGCACAAGACAAUGGCACUCCUAGCCAUGUCCACCAUCUCGGUCUUCUCCACUUGUGACAUGGUGACCGGUAACGCACCUUCACCCUUCAAAGCUUUCUCACACUUUUGUUGUAUCAACACCGCUUGCAUCUUCACCUUCUAUAACUCAAAAUCGUUAAUCCCGAUGAACUUCUCAAUAUCCCACUUUGAAUCCAUGGUACUCACUAAACCAAAUCACUCCUAUGCCCCACGGUGGGGGCCAAUUGUUGUGAAUUCUGGUCUCAAAGUCAAACCAAUACGAACUAUGAUGUGUGGAGCAAAGGAAAGUAGUAACCAAUAACAAAGUGAGUGCAAGCAAUAAUCAACAAUAACAACACCUAGAUCUAAUUUAGGAAUCAAAGUGAAAAGCACAAACCACAAGCAAAAUAUAAAAGGAGAGAAGAGAGAAACAAACACACCAAAGAUUGUUCACCAAGUUCGGUCCAAACUUGACCUACUUUGGAGAAGAGAUUGAACUCUCCAAUCCACUAUCAAUGAGUUCUUCCAAAGAGAUACAAAAGGGUUACAAGAAAUUAGCUUUGACAAGUUCACAAAGAACAACCCUAAUUUCUACCCUUUUUUCCCAAUCUCACCAAUGACCAAGACACUCAAUGAUUUUCACUCACCAAGGUGUUUACAAUGUUUCCCAACCCAAGAGAACUCUAAUCAAAGACCCUAAACCCUAAAGUUGCCUCCUUUGAUUUCCCAAGUUUCUCUCUCUUCAAGCUCACCUUCAAAAUCUGCAAAGAACACUUAUAUAGCUGUCUUCUGCGUCAAAAUCGUGUCAUGUUUUUCCCCAAUCGUGCCACAAUUGAUGCGUACGAUCCAAAGUACGACCAACCUUAUCCUGAAAAUCUUGCCCAACAAGCCAAAAAUCGUGUCACGAUUGGACGCCCUGAAAACCAGCUCUCGACAUUACCAAAAUUGUGUCACGAUUUCUCUGCUUCCCAACUUUGCAAUUUGAAGACAUACACAACAGUAAUCAUGCUAGCCGGUAUGAAAAUACUUGAGAGAAUCACUACUAAAAAAACUAAAUUUAGUGAGGGAAAUAUAGUGAGGGAAAACGUAAAAUCCCUCUCUAAUUCCGUCACUAAAUUUUGCGACCAAGGAAUUUGUGAGGAAUUUCAUUUUUUCCGUCACUAAUUUCCCUCACUAAUUUUGCUUUUUCUAGUAGUGAAUAAUGAUUUCAACGAGUAAAAAUAAAGUUCUUAUAUAAAGAGAUAGAACGAAUAAAAUUUUAAAAAGAAAGUCGUGAAAUGGUUUUGAAUAAUUUGUGCUAAUGUGACACAGAAAUCAAAGGCUCGGUAGAAGUUUGAUGCUAUGCAAAACAAUAAAAUGAUGAUCUAUAUUUGGCAUGUAACAAUCUAGCAUGGAAAAUUGAGGAAAUUCUUGCAGGCAACCACUGUUUGAGGCUAUAUCAAUAGAGAGCUAUGCAGUAGCCAAAAUCACAAGUACAUUUAUUUAUUUUAUUAUGCCAGUGCAGAAUGUUAUCAACCCCAAAGAACUUUAUUAUAUCAUGUUGUAACGACAAAAUGGAAUUACUCAAGAACACCCUCUUGUUAACAACACAAUAAGAACAAAUAGUUGAAUACUGGCAUUCCAUUUUCUAUAAACAAAAAAUUGGAAAUGUUUGACAUUACGUGCCAUGGGUGAAUGUGGUGCACCUGGCUAUAGUAAGUCUCCUUUAAUCCGCCAAUCAAUAAAUAAAUACAUCAGGGAUGUGACAAAUUGUAUUCCAACUCUCUCCUUCCACCUUUUGGUACCUCUGCUUAACUAUUGGACAUUCACGAAUAUACAAUGUAGAAAGGGAGCUCGGAAGACCCUCCUCUGGCAAUCGCUCAAGACAAGGAUAAUAUUCAAUGUAAGAGUCUGAGAGAUUUGAGAUUAAGAAGACCCUUGUAGUUUAUUAUUCUUAGCUUUGAACAAUUUUCCAAACGAAGAGACUUAAGAGUUGGUGGCAGUAGAUUCUCCUCCGGGAAAGACUCCACAUUCUCAAAGUCGUCACUAACUUUGAAUUCUUUCAGAGAAUUGAGUUCGAACAAACCCCACUCCUCUCUCAAUGCAAUAAGUUCAGGGAAUUUGUUUAUUCGGAGGGUGCUCAAGCUGGAAGGUAAACCUCUUUGUGGAAACAAUUUGAGCUGUCGACAAUCGUACAAAUCUAGAGAAUGAAGAUUGGUGAACAAGUUCAGUGCAAAAGGCAAGGAUGAGGAACACCAACCAGAUAUAGACAGAGUGCAAAGUGAAUUACAGCUUCGCAAAUCAAAAGAGGGCCAUUCAAGAUUUUCACCAUCGUAAUCACCAACAUACAACUUUUCAAGGGAGGAACUGUUGAACAAAAUUUGCUCUAGAGAGGACUCAAUGACCCGAGUUCCGCCAAGCCAGGCCUUUUUCAAGUUGGUUGGCAAUUCAUUUAUUAAAACAUUUACACAUCCAUGUAACUUUAGGACAUAACCAUUCAUUCCAACCGUACAUGUUAUCAAAUUUCAAACUUUCAAGAGAAGCAAAUGGAACAGUUGAUGAAUUAUAGCCAUAAAACUCUUCACCGAUGAUCUCUAUUCCAUAACAUUCUGAAAUAGAAAGCUCUUUAAGAGAGGGAAGCUUCCCAAGUGGUGGCAACCGGGAACAAAAUCCACAUCUAUUCAGUUCAAGGGAUACCAAGUUGAGUAAAUAACAGUCCCCAAGCCAAUGUGGAAAGCCUGUGCCUCUGUAGUCCUCGAUGAUGAGACUAUUCAGGUUGCUAUUUGGUUCGAGAACCUCCAAGACAUCCUUCUCAACUAUUGAGCCAUCAGUUGUUCCUUUGUAACCAUAUCUCAUAUGCAAUGCUUCCAGAUGUGUCUUAUCUCUCAAAUUUGCUUCCACAGCAUCUGCACGAUCAGUGACAUUUUCCAACUGUGAAAUACAAAGUGUUUCUCGAAGAUGGUUGAGUUUUUCCAAUUCCUUAAUAUCAUACCCACUAUGCUCUCCCACAACAAAAUUUGUCAAAGUCUGAAGAUGGCUUAGCCUUUGUAUUUGCUUUGGCAUCUUCGAGAUAAGAGUGCUUUCUAGAUUAAGAUGGCGUAAAUUGACGAGUUUAUAAAAAUCUGAAGGGAGCUCCGUCAAUUUACAUCCUAGCAAUAAGAGUGUCUGCAAAUUAUACAACACAUAAAUGGAAUCAGGUAGGCUUGUAAUCCCAGUGUAAGAAAGGUCUAGAUAACGCAGAAGCUUAAGUUGCUGAUCUCGUCAGCUAGCUCGGAGAGAUUAUUACAACCAUAGAAUGUUAACAUACGCAGAUAUUUUAGAUUUGAAAACAGAUCAAUUUUCACAUUCUUGCAUAUCUUGAAGCGUUGGUCAUUAUAGAAUUAUACUUCUACCUUCAGAUUGUGUAAUCCCUUGAAGAGAUAAUUUUGCUUGUAAAGAUUCUUAUCAGAAAGUUUUCCUAUGAGGAAAUUGAAGAAUGGCUACCUGGGGUUUAACUUUGUAUGGAUUAUUGGAAUCUCAUAACUUCUUGUUAUUAUGGAGCUGGACAACAUAUUGAUGCUUUGAAUUCUCUAAGGAAGUCCUUACACAAACAUGCUACCAGAAGAAAGUAACAUAAUUGCAGCUGCAUGUAUUUUUGCUGUUUUUGGUGGAUGGAUUUCUCUUCUAUUUCCCGUGGUGAACAUUGUUGGAAAAAAAGACGCAACAAGUUUUGCAUCAUAUUGCCUUAGACCAAAUUCCAUGGCCAAUGAGAUUAUCAUGUUUCUAUGCAAAGCCAUCGCAACUGAUUUUGUCCUUGUUAAUUUUGUUUUUAAUAGCAUCGCGGCUUUUGUUAUUGAAGUUGAGGUGCAGGAGCAGUGUGAACUAAUUGAUACUUUCAGCAAGAUGGAUAUAAAUUUGAGUCUGAUUGCUUAUUUUGCAUUUUUUGGAGCUUAUUGCCAGAGCAGUAAGGGGUUGAUUUGAAUUGUCCCUUUACCAAUCAAAUGGUUCUACAGAAACCUAAUCUAAUCAGGAGCUUACCAAGAUAGACUAGUCCAUCUUUGAUAUACAUAUUUUAUGAACAAAUCCGAGAAACUAAACUGAUUACUAAAUUACAAAAACAAAAUUACAGUUCCAAGUACAAUGGUUAGAAUAAUUCCAUUUUUGGUUACUAUAGAUGGCCAUUAAUUAACAAGUGAUGUGCUAUAACUGAUACGACCUUGUCUGAUGCAAAUGUUUCAAUUCUUUUAGUGCGCUACUUCACAAGACUUUGCCUCUCCUGACAUCAUUAUGACACCCCUCAUGGAUAGUUUGUCAUUGAGGAAUGCAAAUUAUUGUUAUUUUUAGAACAAGUAAAAUUCAUGUGCACGAUUGCACCGAUGUGGAAAAAAUGGCAGGAAACAUUGGUGUGAAAUUCCACCUUGUAUGGUUAGGGUAAGAGUUUUCCUAGAAUAUGUAGGAAGAUAGACUAAAAGCAUCUCUCCUUGAACAUGCUUGUAGUUUUCUAAAUUGGAGUCUAAUGCCUCUUUUGGAGAUGUAUUGUCUAUCUACCUUUUAAUCUACUCUACAAUGUUUAUAGAUUCGUCAAAAUAAUUCAGUAAUUCUACUAUUUUACACAGUUUUGUAGACUGCUUAAGUACUUGCACAAUGGGACCAAGAUAGAUGUCUUAAAAAUCAAAGUGGCUUAGGGUUUCAACUAGAAAUUUUAUAGUGAGCUCAUCAGUGUUUUUAAAACAGGUCUUACAUCAGAGAUCUCACCACCAUGUUGGUAGCAUGCAAUAAUGAGUGUUAGGAACCCACAAUUACCAUCAAUAGAAAAAGAAGCAUUAGAGCUGAAGUUAGUUAGUAGUUAGUCAAUAGAUAGUUAUUAGCUAGUAACCUCUAUAUCUCUAAUAAGAAGCAAAGCAAAGAGGGCAAAAAGAAUGAUCUGGCAGAACUAAAAGUAAAUCCAUAGAAUUCAAAGAGUGCCAAUGAUUCCAAAGCAUAAUGAUAGAACAUUUAUUACACAGUAUAAUCUGUCAUCAUUCUUAAACCUACUUAAUGCCUUGUCCACCACAGUCCAGGCAUUCCCUAACACCCAUCUCAUUCUCUCUAUUUUCUUUCUUACAUAAAUUGCAUCACAACUUUCUGCUACACUUCCUCUUUUAACACCUGCAGUUAAGCACAAAACAGAAUUGAAGUCCUAAUCAGUAAUUCAUCAAUAUUAAUGCCUUUCAUAAAAUAAACAUGUUUAUGAUUCAUAUGUUUGCUUUCUAUCUAACAAAUCACAUUAAGCUGCAUUAGAACAAAAACACACACUUAGUGGCACCAAUUGUUGAGAACAUCAGCAAGAGAAAACCUCUAAACAAGCGGUAGCACAACCACGAAAGAAGUAAGAGACAAAACCUACAUCCACAAGCUCUCACCAAAAUAUUUAUUACUCAACAUGUGCAAUGCACAAAACUACAAACAUUCUCAACUUGAACAGUUGCAAAUUUUACAAUUUUUGCUCAGAAAAAUUUCAAACCCUCUCUCAGUUACAAUUUUUGCCAAAAAAUAACUCUUUUUCUUCUUAUUAUCUGAUGUUGGAAUUGGAUGAAUACCCAACUUAACACAACACCAAAAACAUUCAAAACUUUAAAUUUAGAAGAUAUAAUGAGGUGUGUUCCCGUGACCUUUUUUCAAUUGAUAGGGACAUUGCAUUAUACAUGCAGAGGCCGGGUUCGAACCCCAUACACUCCACUUAUUCAUCUUAUUGGGUGAAUUUCUAACCACUAGACUACUAGACCAAAAAAAAAUGAGGUGUAUAUAUUUUACAGUUUCUUCAAUUUCAAGAAAAGGGCAUGACAACAUAGCCGAUGCAGAAAUGAUUUACAUUAAUGAGUUAAUCAGAUGGGUGUACCUUCCAUUUUCAACAGCUAAUCAGCCAACUAUGUCCACAACUGGGAUAUGACAAAUCGUAUGCCAACGCUCUCCUUCCUCCUUUUGGUACUGCUCCUUAAUUAAUGGACAGUUAAGACUCAACAACUGAUAAAGUGAGUUGGGUAGACCGUCCUCUGGCAAGCGUUCAACACUGGGGCAGUGUAGAAUAUAUAAAUAUCUGAGAGAUUUAAGGUGGAGAAGACCCUUGUAGUUUAUUAUUCUUAACUUUGAACAUCGUUCCAAUUGAAAAGAGUUAAGAGUUGGUGGCAGUAGAUUCUCCUCCGGGAAGGAGUCAACAUUUUCAAGGUCAUCACUAACACUGAAACUUUCCAGAGAAUUUAGUUGGAACAAACCCCACUCCCCUCUCGAAGCAAUUAGUUUUGGGCACUUGGUUAUUCUAAGGCUGGUCAGGGAGGAAGGCAACCCUCCCCUAGGAAAUGACUCCAGUUGUGGACAAUCAUACAAAUUUAAAGUUUUAAGAUUGGUGAACAAGUGUAGUGAAAAUAGAAAGGUGGAGUUCCAGCCAUUUAUAGAGAGUGUGUGAAGAGAAUUAGAGCUAGGCAAAUCCAAAGAGGACCAUUCUAGAUUUGCACUAUCAAAGCCACUAACCUCCAAUUUUUCAAGAAAGGCAUUGUUGAAUAGAAGUUUCUCCAGGGAAGACACAAUGACUUGAGUUCCUUUUAGGAUGACCCGUGUCAAUUUUGAUGGCAUAUCAUUUAUCAAAAUGUUUUCACAUCCCUUCAAAUGUAGAAAACCAAUAUUAGAAGCCUCGGGAAUUGAAGCCUUCAACUCUUCGCAAUCAUUAAUCACCAAUUUUUGCAAAGAAGGAAGGUGUUGAGGUAGAUAUUUUUUCAAUUUGUGACAACUUUCUAUAAAAAGCUCUUCAAGCAAAGGGAAACUUUCAACACAUAACCAUUCCUUCCAACUAGACAUGUCAUAAAAAUGCAAUGUUUUCAGAGACCUGAAUGGACUAUUUGAUGAAUUAAUGAUCUCCACUCUAGGACAGCUUGAAAUAGAAAGCAUCUUGAGAUGGGGAAACAAGCCAAAUUGUGGCAACUUGGAACAAAAUUUACAUCCUCUCAGAUUGAGAGAUGAUAAAUUGGACAAAUGACAACCCCCAAGCCAAUUUGGAAAACUAGUGCCUGGGUAGUGCUCGAUGGUCAGCUUAUUAAGGUUGCUAUUUGGUUGAAGAGCCUCCAAGACAGACAUUUCCCUAUUGAUUUCUCUGUUGCCAAGGGAAUUGUAUAUGAUAUGUAAUUCUUCCAAAUGCUUCUUAUCUUUUAAUGUUGCUUCUACAACGUCUACAGGAUUAAUGACAUUUUCCAACCCUGAAAUACAAAGUUUCCCUUGAAGCUGGUUAAGUUCCGCCAACUCCUUAAUACCAGACCCAUGCUCCUUUACCACAACAAAUUUAGUCAGCGUCUGAAGAUGGGUUAGCCUCCCUAUCUCUUUUGGCAUCUUCUUUAUAUGAGUGCAUUCCAGAUCAAGAUGACGUAAGUUUGUAAGUUUGUAAAAAUCUGAAGGGAGCUCGGUCAAUGAACAAUAUGCCAAUAGUAGUGUCUGUAAAUUAUACAGGUUACAAAUGGAAUCAGGCAACCUUUUAAUCUUUGUGAGAGACAGGUCUAGAUAACGCAAAAGCUUUAAAUUGCUUAUCUCAUCAUCUAACUUUUGAAGGUUACAACGUUUCAAUGAUAACAUCCGCAAACAUUUUAGCUUUGAAAACAAAUCUUGUUGUAAUAUGUCGUAUGUCUUGAAGAGUUGUAUACCGAAGUCUUUAUCCAUGGUAAAACUACGUAAUCCCUUAAUGUUAUAAACAUGUUGUAUCGUUUUAUCACCAUCUUUUAAUUCAGGAGAACACCAAAUGUGUCGUGUCCUUUCGGGGAAAUCUUCCACCCUAUCACCUUCUAUUCGCAAGCAAAAUUCUCCUGCCAUUGAUUGUGCUAAAUCAUUGAUAAGAUCGUGCAUUGUGAACCGCUUAUUAUCACCAUAUCUUGAUUGCUGGAAAAAUGAAAUUGACACUAGAUCAUCUAAUAAUUGAUUACCCAGCUCUUCUUCGCUUUUUUCUGUUCCGCGGCACUUCAGCAAACCGUCGGCCAUCCAAAGUUUGAUUAAUUCACCUUUGUCAAACCACUUGCCUUUGGGAAAUAAGGAACAAUAAGAAAAACAGCGCUUCAGAUUGGAAGGGAGAUGAUGGUAACUCAAUCUCAGUACUGAAUUAAUGUUAAUGUCACCUUCUGAUAAACGCCACAUAUCUGUCUCCAAUAUCUUAACCCAUUCAUGUUGAGAGAAUUUUCUUCGCAAGAGAUUUCCCAAAGUUUUUACAGCUAAAGGUAACCCUCCACACUUAUCUACUAUUUUCUUUCCAAUUGAUUCAAGAUUUGGGUAUUCACUUGCAUUGCUUCCAUGAAAAGCAUGUCGCACAAACAUACUCCAACAUUCACUCUCCUUCAGUUUCUCUAAAUUAAGGUUUUUGGUGGAGUUCAUGACAGUUGCUACCUUCAUGUUACGUGUUGUCACAAUAAUUUUACUUCCAGCAGAUCCAUGGAAUAAGGGAAGUAAUAAGCGCUCCCAACAUUCUUCACUCCCAUUCCAGACAUCAUCCAAAAAAAGCAAGUAUUUCUUGCCUGUUAGUCCCUGCUGCAACUGAUGUUGGAGUAAAUUCAAGUCUUCACCAUCUGCUGAAAAGUCAAAUGACCUCAGAAUUGCUUUAGUAAGUCCGAGACCAUCAAAAAUUUCCGAAACAUAGACCCAGGCUUUAUGUUUAAAAUUCUCCUUGAUCCUUUGGUCAUUGUACACGAGUUGAGCAAGGGUGGUCUUACCCAUUCCACCGAGACCCACUAUGCUGAUUAUUGGUACAUGGUUGCCCUUGUCUAUGUCAGACAGUAAAAAAUUGAUUAACUCCUCCUUGUCACCAUCUCUACCAUAUAUGCUGGAUUCAUCCACCAAAGAUGUAGUUGGCAAUCUAUCUAAGGGUUUCCAACUAACUCCACCUUCACUACUAGCACAAGCGUCUUGUUUUAAUCCAAGCAUAUGCUUUUGUUUUGCAAGAAAUUCUAGCUUCUCUAGCAAUUCUUUGAUCCUAGACUCAAAUGGAUUAGUGAAAGACGAAAUGAAGUCGAAUACCUUGCUAGUAGAAGGUUGAGAUUCAAGUUUCUGCUUCUUCAAUGGUGUAUCAGUUGCAAUCUCAUCUAACAGCUGGUCAACCUCAUAUGCAUAAUGUUUAAGAUCAUCAAGCCACUUCUUCACGUACAUGCUUUGGAACUGCUUCAUCUCAGCUUCUUCCAACACAUGGUUGAUAGAAUUGAGUGUUAUUAGAAGUUUCUCUAGCAGAUUGACAUCAAGUUUGCUUCUACGGAAAUAGUCAAUGAAAUCAUUGGAAGACAAUUUCUCAAGAGCCACUUGAAAAAAUGAUGAAAGAAAUGCUCCACCAACUAACUCUGCCAUGGUUUCUUUUUCUUUUUCUCUCUGUUUUUGUGGAAAUUGAUCAACAAGCCUUAGAGGUUCUCUGUAAGAUGGUAAUUUAUUCUUUAGUUUGUGGAAUUGGAAGAAGAAUCAUGUACUGGAAAAGUAUUAUUAUUGAAUGGAGCUUUUCUUUAUUCAAUGUAUGACAAAUACUGAUUAACUACUAUGUGUUUCUUAGUAGUUUUUUUUUAAUUGAUGACACAAUGCACAAUUAUUUUUCUUAUUUAACAAUAUGGACAGGAGAGCAAGUGUCUUGAUUCCACUAAUUUAAGUCACCUUAACUAAACUAUAAUAAAGCAACAUGCAUAGUUUAUUAUGCUACUUUGAUUAUUUUACAAUAAAGGAAGCUAACCAGAAAUUUUGUAAGGUUUUUAUAUAGCAUGAUGCAAUUAAAAUAGUAAUUUAGAGAAGAAAAAGUUGAAAGAUUACCACUGUCUUUGAUUUGUAUCAUCGACUAAAAAAUAUUGCUUUCAUUUGAUCUCGAAAAGAAGAAGAAUCAAAAUGCUGUGUAUCUUUUAUGUCAUGUAAAGUUUACGUUAGUUGAAUUCCGAGGCUCACCAAAAUCAUAAAGAAUUUGGGCGACAUACUUAUAGAUUAAUAUCAUUUACAAAUUAAAAAAUAUGGAUUAAGCGAUAGUAUAUACUCUUUUGAAUUAAGAUCCGUUGACACAUGUGUUAAACUUGGUGCAUUACACAUUUGAUAGCUUUUUGUAGCAUUCAAAUCAAAUCAAUCUAGUUUUUGAAUCAUGUUAUAUUAUGUCGAUGGCCGUGUAUAUAAUCAACUCCGACAUCAAGUGUUGUAAUUCCUCUCACAAAGCAAUGGAUGCGAUAUACAAGAACAAUUCCAGGAUUUUCUUGAUUCGUGAUGAAUAAUGGAUUGGAAAGAAGAGGGAUUAAGCAUGCGGAAAUGGAAAGAGGAAUGACCAAGAAAAUGUGAGAUAAUUGAAGCAGGGUUUUCUUUCGUCUGAUAUCAUAUCAACAAACACUAAGCAAAAUUGAUGAAACCUCUCAUUCUCGUUAUUGAGUGAAAUGAGUAGUGAUACACCUUAUGUUACUAUAGUAAUUAGUAACUAAUUGGGAAUUAAUCAACUGUAAGCAUGGGCAUAAAUAAAGGUAACCAGAUUCGCAGAAAGAUUACGAUCGGUUGAGUUAUUCAAAACUCAACCAUAUGAGACUUAUCAAUGGGUGUAGCAACAAUAUCAGAGGCAGAAUUCAAAACCUCUACAAGAAUCCUUUUUCCUUUGGCAAUGUCAUCCUUCUUGAUUGAUUCCUACAUCAGCACAGAAGUAUUGAAGAGAUUAAUCUCACCCGCAGAGUAGGUCAUUGUUGCAUCGAACCGGCUAAACAAUUAUUUUGUAUCAGUUUCUUUUCUCUACUCUCUUUAUCAUGUUUAUUCUUUGGUUCGAUUGUGGUUUUGCAUUACACUUGGUUGCUAGAUUAGAUCUAGAUCUAUUGUUGUUGCUUGUGGUUUUUUUUUGUUAUUGGUUGUCAUUGAUAUUUUCACCAUGAAUAUAAAUUUCAUUGAUGUGAGAUUUUGAGUUACCGAAUUCAGAACGAUUAAUGCUCACCGUCGGAAAGGAAGAGUAGAUUUGUCAAGGGAGCACCAUGGUUAUUGAUGACAAACCAUCUUACAUUAUUCUUAGGAUGUUUUUCAGUCAUUUUUAUUUAGUUUUAAUCCAAAAUAGCGAAGUAUUAGAACCAUUUCCUAUGAUUUUCGAAAUAUUUUGUAAUGUUUCCUAUUUGAGUCGUGUUAUUUUAGUUUUUCCAUAACAUAGCAAUUGUAGGGUGUUUUAAUAUAAUUCAAGAAGAAAUCAUGCUGAUUGGCAAUGCAAAACAUCUUGAAGAGUUGUAAAGAUCUUGGGAAGACCAUGAAUGAAGAUUCAAGAGACAUCAUAAGAAAUUACAAAGGGAGGAAUUAUGUUCUCAAGUCUUAAGACAUCUUAUAUGGAAGGAAACACCCAAAAGACAAAUAAACGGGCGAUUACACGCAAGAAAACAACACUUAUGCACCUAGGGCAUGAUCCAUGCGUUUGGGGAUGUAAUUCUAGUACUAAGGAUGAAGUUGGGAAGGAGCGGCUUGGUCCCAAUCAAUGACCCCGUCGUGAAAGGCCGAGAAGGAAAGGCUAACCCUGAUGGCUCGUAGCACGUAGUGGUACAUUAGGAAAGAGUGCUCCCAAAGGCAUAGUAAAUAGAGGGAUUACCCGAGUAUUCCUCCUUCACAAAAGGAAAUUCUUCAAGGUACCCGACAAGGAUAUUAGAUCCACCGACUAGAUUGAUUUUCUUCUCUGAAGUCCAUAUACUUCAAAAUAGAUGACAUACUGUAUCCCUUGCGUAUCCUGAACCGAUACCUUCCCGAUACGUAUCAGGAGAGUAUCCGGAGAUUAAAUUUUAUUUUUUUAAAAAAAAUUAUCCGAUACUUUUCUUAUACAUCUGAGAUAUGAGGGAUAGGCGGUAGAAAACCGAUAUGUGCGGGCUACAUGAUGUUUCUAUUAUAUUUGGUAUAUAUAUGUAAUCGACUAAGUAAUGAUGUUUUCUGUGUAAGAUAUAUCAUAUAUGUAAUUGGCUAAUUGUCGCUUUCUUUAGUCCAUAUUUUGUAUUUUGAGUUUUAAUAUGUAGUUUAAAUUCAAUUUUCUAUUGAAGUAUCACAGCCGUAUCGUAUCUUAAAAUUUAAAAUUUUUCCGUAUCGGUGCCGUAUCGUAUCUGUACCGUAUCAUGUAUGCGCUUCAUAGAUUUUCUUGUUACCCAUGGCAUACAUCCUAGCAAAAAGAAAACAAGAACAUGGAGAAAGAAUCAGAACUCAAACCUUACACAAAAUCUAGUUGGGAAUCCCUGCAACAAGGCCAUGUGCAUUUUCCCCCUUUUUACAGUGCACUCGCAAGGAUUAAGAAGCAACCCAGGAAAUAAAAGAAAAAACGCACACAUGGGGAAGACGGGAUAAAAUUGUGAUUUAUGAGGUUGAAUCAAGCAUCAUACAAAACCCACUAUAAGGUUGAAUCAUCCCCACCUACUCAAUGAAUAUUUUAUAUCGGACCUUGUGAUUUGUGAGGUUUUCUAUAUAGACCAUUAUGGUUUGUCAAAUUAUCAAAUCUAUUGCCUGAUUUUUAUGGCUUUACUUUGACCUUUUGAGGGUUUGAUUUGAUCCCCCUCAGGUGUAAUUUUUUUUCACUUUUUUAAUUAUAUUUAUGAGUAAGGUGCCAUAUGAUGGGGUCUUUCUGAGUUGCCAACCUAGUUUCGAUUUCUAAGUCUCCCCUUAUGCCUAUCAUUUUUCUUAGUUUAUCAUAAAAAGAACGAUUUAAUAAAAAAAAAAUAUUGAUCCUACCAUUUGGUAUACUUGUGCACAAAUAUGUUCUCACCCCAAUGUUGUAUACUUAGCGACACAUCAAAAGUCAUAACAAAUUAUUUUGAACGAAUCGAAUGAAUUAUUUUUUAGAGGAAAAAGGAAUUGAAGGUAAUUGAUGAUCACCAUUAAGGAAUUGAAGGUAAAUGUGCUAUUAUCUUUAACCAUGCAUAUUAUCUAAUCAACUAAAAUCAAUGCAUAUAAUUUUCAUUCAAAAUAUAAUUCUUGUAGUAUUAAUGUAUGAUUAAAUGGACAUUUUUUCUUGUAACCAAAUAAAAAAAUUGAACAUUUCUUAACCAAAUAAAGACCGGUGCUAGUCACACCCUAAAAGAAACAAGUUACACUCCAGAAUGACUAAUAUACCCUUUAACUAAAAUAAAAAUUUCAAAUCAACUAAAUUUACAUUAACUAAAUUGAACAUAAGUAAACUUAAUUUACAUUAACCUAAAUUGAACAUAAGUAAACUUAAUUUACAUUAACCUAGAUUUAACGUAAGGAAACUGAAUUUACAAACUUAAUUUACAUUAACCUAGAUUGAACAUAAGUAAACUUAAUUUACAUUAACCUAGAUUGAACGUAAGUAAACUGAAUUUACAAAUUUAAUUUACAUUAACCUAGAUUGAACGUAAGUAAACUGAAUUUACAUUAACCUAGAUUGAACGUAAGUAAACUGAAUUUACAGUAACCUCUUAUAUACACACGUAAACUAAAUUUACAUUAACCUAAAUUGAACAUAAGUAAACUUAAUUUACAUUAACCUAGAUUGAAUGUAAGUAAACUGAAUUUACACUAACCUAAAUUGAACAUACGUAAACUUGAAUUUACAUUAACCUACAUAUGUAAACUACACUAACCCCUUUUAUAUACAUACACGUAAACUUAAUUUACACUAAUCUCUCACUUAAAAUCAAAUUGACAGGCAUAUGUCAUACCAAAACAAACAAUAAACAAAUAGAAACUCAUCGAAAAUGAAAUUCAUGAAAUCCACUAACCUUUAUGAAUAUAGUACAGAUCAAUAACAAAGAUGUUGAUUCAGAUAUUGGUUGCACAUCUACGGUGAUUUGUGGAUGAAAGGGGGUAAGGGUUCAGAAUGAUCAUAAAAGAUGAGUUUUUAAAAAUUUACAUGAAGAGGGCAAUUUCGGUAUUAUUGUAAAAUUUUAAAUAAAUUUGGGUGUAACUUGUUUUUUUUGGGGUGUGACUAGCACCAGUCCCAAAUGAAUCACGUGUGUCCAAUUUUUUUUAAACAAAAUAUGGCCAAAUAAGUUUGAUUGGAAAAUUUGUCUGGCUUGAUUUAUUUUUCUAAAAAUUAAAACAAAUUUUUGAAAAAUUAUUAUUUUUUAAAUUCUCGUAGGAUAUUAAAUUUUAGUUGCAAAAAGAAAUAAUUAUUUUUGUUGGGUGUGGUUUAAUAUGUAAAAAUUAUUUUUUUUCGAUUUAGUUGAAAUAGGGAAUAGUUACAUGAAUUUUGUUAUCAUAGAAAUCCUUCAAUCAAUAUAUAAAAAUGAGUUAGGAUUAAAUGACAUUAAUGUGUAAAAGUUAAUUUGAUACCAAAUUUUAGCAAUUGAUUUAUUUUAAUCGAAUGAUGAUAUUGAUUCAGUUAAUGAGGUCACAUGAUCAACAUGCUGCCAUCAAGAAAACGAAAAUAAAAUUAAAACACAUUGCAUGAAUAAAGAAAACGAAAACAAAUAAAAUUAUAAACAUAUAUGGGUGAAAACAAUACUUACGCAUCCAUCAUAAUCAUAUAUAUAUAUAUAUAUAUAUAUAUAUAUAUAUAUAUAUAAUGUGUGCGUCACAAUGAAAAUAGAUAGAAAAUAUGUGUGUUACGAUGAAGAUGAAAAUGAUGACCAACAUAUUGACUAUAUAUAGAUUUCAUUGUUCUAAGCCGGAAAAAUUACCAAACUUCAUCUAAAUGAAAAGUGUCCAACUUUUUGGAGUCACAUUAUUUUUAUUUUUGAAUAUUAAUGAAAAACAAACUUUAGAAUGCAAUGUUCCAAAAAAAAUUGAAAGCAAGGCAGUUGUAUAAUGAUAGAAUAGUAAAAAAGAAAUAAAAGAAUGUGAUAAGAAUUGAUUAAAUUACUAUUCAAUUAGAAAAUAAAAAGAAUAUCACAAACUUCAAUUGAUCAAGUAUUUUAUUUUGAUAGUCGAUUUACAAUAAUAAGCAUAGUAAAAAUGAAAUAGAAAAUUGUGAUAAGAAUUGACUAAAUUACUAUUCAAUAAUAAGAAUAUAAAAAACAUGAUCAUAAACUCUAUUUUAUUUUGAUAGUCAAUUUACAACAAUAAGUAUGGUUAGUAACAAUUUACUUGAUGUUCUUGUAUUACACAACGAACAAACCAGACACGUAUAAUUCACGUGACUAUGCUUCAUGAUUCUUCAUAUGAAUUAAUUUAUGAGAUAUCAUCAAAUGAAAGGAGUAAUGAUGAAAGGAGUAAUGAGAUGAAAAUGAUGCAAGUUUGAUCGAAUAUAUAUAUAGGGAAAAUGACAACCAAAUUACUUUUAAACCUUUGAUCAUAAUCAUAAUACAUAAUAAUAUGAUGAUGGAAAAAUUACACAUGUUAGAAUUUGGUUGGCUUAAAAAUAUCAUGUGACACUUGUUAUUAUUUUAUUUUUUUGACGGAGUGACACUUGUUAUUAUUGGAUUGGUUUUAUGAUCACAUUGAAACAUAUGAAAUAGAAGAAGUAUAUAAACUAUUUUCCUUUUUCAUAUUUAAAUUUGUCAUAAAUAAAAAAGGCAGUGCUAGUUAAUAGGAUUUACACACCAUAAACAAUUCAUUUUAGUCAACAAUUUUAUUUUAAUCACUACAAAAAUGAUAAGGAUAAUAGAUUUAGAUGAGAGGAAAUCUGAUGUUAGAAAAACAUUAAAUGAGUUAUUGCAUUUUAAAAGAAAUCAUUGGUGCAUUAAAUAACAAUUUCAAAUUAUGAUUUUUUGCACAACAUUUUUUGUACAUAAGAAAUAACAUUAAAUGAUCCUUUCAUUAUUAAGUUGUCACGUGUACUUUUAAAAAAAAUAGCACAAAUGUAUAUAAUAAAGAUAAAGAUAAAGAUAGAGAUUGAGAUUUAUCCAACCAUCCUCAUUCAAUUCAAUUCAAUUCAAUUCCACCUCCCCCCAAAUUAUGAUGUAUAUUAAUUAUGUUUCCAACAUUAAAGUAGCGUAGCGUGUGUGCGCGUAUUGACCUCACUACUUAAGACUUCUGGAUCUGUCCCUGGAUAAGACCAGAUAUAUUUGUGGUGUGAUUAGAAAAAAGUCAAAUAAAUGCUUUCAUACAUUGAUCAAUGAUUCAAAGUAACGGGUGAGAACAAUAACUAAUAAUAAAUAUAAUAUAGCUUAAAUGUACUUUUAUCCUUCUAUUUUUUUUAAACAUAAAAAUGAAGUUUUGAUCAUUCUAUAUUAAAAUUCAGUUUUUUUUUGUCUCGCUAAUUAACUUUUUUCUUCUUCUGAAUUUUUAUCUCUUGUCUCAUUUUUUUGGUCAUUUUUAUGUUGUUACCUAUUUAUUUAUGAUGUGGCAAGGUUUAUUAGGCCACACUAAAUAUCCAUGUGAGCAAAGUUAUGCCUAUUAAGCAGUGGAAAGUUUCUUUAAAAAAAAAAAAAAAAAGCACUGGAAAGUUUUCUUCAAAACAAAAAAUAAAAAAAGCACUAGGCAAGUUAUAAAUUUAUAAGCCACGUCAUAAAAAACUACCCAAAAAUUAUAAAAGACCAAUAUUCUAAAAAAUGUUCAAUAGGGGGAGCAAAAAACUGAUUUUUAAAAUAGGGAGAUCAAAAACAUAAUUUGAUUGAAAAUAGAGGGAACAAAAGUCUAUUUGAGCCUAAAUAUUAAGUAAAAAAAAAUUAAAUGAUUUUGUAUUUUGUUUCCUAAAUAUCACAAUAAAUAUUUAUAUGUCGAAAUUCCAUGGGAUGCAUGCAUAAUUUUUUUACAUUGAUUGACGAUUGUUGUCAAUCUUCAAAGUUAGCAUAGUGUGAUAAAGUAAUAAUUCUCAAUUGUGAUUCUUAUUGUCCUUAAAACGAUUAAGCUGAGCAACUUUGUCCCUCAACUAUGUGUUCAUUAACUCAUCCAAAUGGUGUGAACUAUAGAGUUGCGUUUUUAGUGAGCUACUAAACAAUGGCAAAUAUUAGGAACCAAUUUUGAUGUAAUCUUUUAUUUAUCAAAUGUACCUCAAAGCAAAUUACUUCAGCCAUUGAACUUAUACAUUAAUUUUGAGAUUUUUGAAUAAUCAAAUUAAUAAAAAAAAAAAUUAAGAAGAAAUUAAUCAAAAUCUUAUGAAAUAUUUGACUUGUCCAUUUUCUUGAGCGUGAUUGCUCCAACUUUCAUUCAACCUGUUUAUCUGCUGUUAAUCUGCCCGUUUCAGUUUAAAUUGGGCGGGAUUGCUCAGUUGGGUCGGUUAGUAUUUUUUGUGUAGCCAGAGUGCAAUCCACCAGCAUGCACGUGUUCAUCCAUGCACACCCUGAUUUCUUCAUAUGUUCCGGGAUAAAUCAAACUUGUCCACAUAGCCUGAACAGAUUUACCAAGGUUGUGUCUAACUCGACAGGUCCCUUUAAACCAUAUUGACCAAAUAUAUAGAAGAUGCUUCUCACGUCGUCAUCAUUGUGGAGUUUUAUCUUGGUGAACCAAACGCAUCUAUUGAAAAACAAUGAUACUCGACACUGGCCACUAUUCUUGUGUCGCCAAAGGAAGGAUGGUCACUGUAGGGAGUGGUCUCACAAGGACAAUCACCUAUACGUAACAAUGAAUUCUCUUCUUCACAUGAACGGGAAAGAAGAAUAAUUCAUGUACUUUUAUUCAAUAAAGAGAAUAAUUAAAUCCACAGAUCAAUCUGUCAUUAGCAUGGACCACGCUUUUAUUGACCAAAUUUCAAUGUAUCAUUGUGAAAUUACAUUUGAUUUUGAUGUCUUAAUUAGCAGAGGUACAUAGAUAUAGGGAGUCAAAAUAAAAGGUUAAAUAUGUUUAGUCCCUAAAAAGUUCAGAGUUUUCAAGUUUAGUCCCUACAUUAAUCUUGUCCCUAUAAACUUGUGAUCUGAGUUAGAUACACAGAAAUUACAGAAAUUGCAAUAUUAAUAUCACAUUCCUAUUUUUUGUCACAAUUUUGUCUUCUCAUUGCACCUACCGAUCUCACUUGUACUGUACGAUUCAGCUGUUUUGGAUAGGUUUACCAUAUCAGUUUGCAUGGUUUCUCAAUACAUGUAUGCAUUGUGUACCUUACUGAAGGUUCUCUAACAAUCAUGCUUGUAAACAAAUUAACCUAUGAACAACGUAAUUGACAUAUAUGAACGUCAAUUAAAUUUCCGGUAUGAAAAUGAAAGAAAAUACUUGAGAGAAUAAUGAUUUCAACGGUUAAAAAUAAAGUUCUUAUAUAAGUAGAUAGAACGAAUAAAAUUUUAAAAAGAAAGUCAUGAAAUGGUUUAGAAUAAUCUGUGCUAAUGUGACACUGAAAUCAGAGGCUCGGUAGAAGUUUGAUGCUAUGUCAAUAGAGAGCUAUGCAGUAGCCAAAGUCACAAAUCCAUUUAUUUACUUUUAUUAUGCCAAUGCAGAAUGUUAGAAACCCUGAGGAUUUUAUUAAAUAAUGUUGCAACGAAAAUUAGAAACCAACAAACUGGUAAUACUCAGAUUACACACUCUUGUUAAGAACACAAGAACAACAAAUAGUUGAAUAUCAUUGUUUCAUUUUAUUUAUGAUUAUACGAAAUGAUUAAGAAAAUGAUCCACAUUUCAAUAAACAAAAAAUUGGAAAUGUUUGAUAUAACAUGCCGUGGGUGAAUGUGGUGCACCUGGCUAUUGUACGUCUCCUUUAAUCCGCCAAUCAAUAAAUAAAUACAUCAGGGAUGUGACAAAUUGUAUUCCAACUCUCUCCUUCCUCCUUUUGGUACCUCUGCUUAACUAUUCGACAUUCACGAAUGUACAAAGUAGAAAGGGAGCUCGGAAGACCCUCCUCUGGCAAUCGCUCAAGACAAGGACAAUAUUCAAUGCGUAGGAGUCUGACAGAUUUGAGAUGAAGAAGACCCUUGGAGUUGAUUAUUCUUAGCUUUGAACAAUUUUCCAAAUGAAUAGUGUUAAGAGUUGGGGGCAGUAGAUUCUCCUCCGGGAAGGAGUCCAUGCUUUCAAAGUCAUCACUAACUCUGAACUCUUUCAGAGAAUUUAGUUCGAACAAACCCCACUCCUUUCUUGAUGCAAUCAGUUCAGGGCAUUUGUUUAUUCGGAGGCUACUCAGGCGGGACGGUAAACCUCUUUGUGGAAACGAUUUGAGCUGUCGGCAAUCAUACAAAUCUAGAGAAUGAAGAUUGGUGGACAAGUUAAGUGCAAAAGGCAAGGAUGAGGAACACCAUCCGGAUAUAGACAGAGUGCAAAGUGAAUUACAACUUCGCAAAUCAAAAGAGGGCCAUUCAAGAUUUUCACCAUCGUAGUCACCAACAUUCAACUGUUCAAGAGAGGAACUGUUGAACAAAAUUUGUUCUAGAGAGGACUCAAUGACACGAGUUCCUCCAAGGUAAGCCUUUUUCAAGUUGGUUGGCAAUUCAUUUAUGAAAACGUUUACACAUCCGUGUAGCUCUAGCUGUCUUAUAUUGGCAGGAAUUGAAGCCUCCAACUCUGGACAAUCGUAAAUCACCAAUCUUUCUAAACAAGGAAGAUGUUGAGGCAGUGCUCUUUUCAAUUUUGGACAUUCUGUUAUUAAAAGAAAUGUAAGAGAAGGGAAGCCUUUAGUACAUAACCAUUCAUUCCAACCGUACAUGUUAUCAAAUUUCAAAUUUUCAAGGGAAGCGAAUGGAACAGUUGAUGAAUUAUAGCCAUAAAACUCUUCACCGAUAAUCUCUAUUCCAUCACAUUCUGAAAUAGAAAGCUCCUUAAGAGAGGGAAGCUGCCCAAGUGGUGGAAACUGGAAACAAAAUCCACAUCUAUUCAGUUCAAGGGAUACUAAAUUGAGUAAAUAACAGUCCCCAAGCCAAUGUGGAAAGCCAGUGCCUCUGUAGUCCUCGAUGAUGAGACUAUUGAGGUUGCUAUUUGGUUCGAGAACCUCCAAGACAUCCCUCUCAACUAUUGAGCCAUCAGUUGUUCUUCUGUAACCAUACCUCAUAUGCAAUACUUCCAAAUGUCUCUUAUUUUUCAAAUUUGCUUCCACAGCAUCUGCACGAUCAGUGACAUUUUCCAACUGUGAAAUACAAAGUGUUCCUCGAAGAUGGUUGAGUUUUUCCAACUCCUUAAUAUUAGACCCACUAUGCUCUCCCACAACAAAAUUUGUCAACGUCUCAAGAUGGGUUAGCCUUUGUAUUUGCUCUGGCAUCUUUGAGAUAAGAGUGCUUUCUAGAUUAAGAUGACGUAAAUUGACAAGUUUGUAAAAAUUUGAAGGGAGCUCAGUCAAUCUACAUCCUAGCAAUAAGAGUGUCUGCAAAUUAUACAACACACAAAUGGAAUCAGGUAGGCUUGUAAUUCCAGUGUAAGAAAGGUCUAGAUAACACAGAAGCUUUAAGUUGCUUAUCUCGUCAGCUAGCUCGGAGAGAUUAUUACAACCAUAGAAUGUUAACAUACGCAAAUAUUUUAGACUUGAAAACAGUUCAAUUUGCACAUUCUUGCAUAUCUUGAAGCAUUGCUCAUCAUAGCCUUGUUCUUCUACCUUCAAACUGCGUAAUCCCUUAAUCUUACAAAUAUUCUCUAAUUUUCUAUAACCAUAUUUCCAAUCAAGAGAGCACCAAAUAUGGCGUGCUCUUUCAGGGAUAUCUUGCACCCUAUCACCCUCUAUUCGUAAAGAAAAUUCUCCUGACACUGAUCUUGCUAAAUCAAUGACAAGAUCAUGCAUGAAAAACCGGUGCUUGUUAUCAAGCCCUGGAUAUAAUGAUUGUUGUAUAAACGAAAUUGACUCAAGAUAAUCAAAAAAUUCAUCACCCAACUCUUUUUCACUCUUUUCUGCUCUAAAACAUUUCAGCAACCCAUCUGCCAUCCAAAGCUUGAUUAAUUGAUCCUUGAAUAAGCAAUUGGCUUUGGGAAAUAUGGAAAAAUAAGCAAAACAUCGCUUCACACUGGAAGGAAAGUUAUGGUAAAUCAAUCCCAAUAUCAGGUAAAUGUUAAGGUUGUUGUCCUCAUCCGUUAAAGGCAACAUAUCUGCAUCCAAUAUCUUGGUCCAUUCACCAGGAGAAAAUUUCAUUCGCAAGAGAUUCCCUAAUGAUUUCAGAGCUAAAGGCGGCCCUCCACACUUGUUUACAAUUUUCUUCCCAAUUGAUUCAAGAUUUGGAUAUUCACUUGCAUUUUUUCCGUGAAAAGCAUGUCUCACAAAUAAAUUCCAACCAUCGCUUUCCUCCAAUUGCUUCAAAUGAACUAUUUGGGAGGAUUUCAUUACUGCUGCUACCUCUUUGUCACGUGUGGUCACAAUAAUCUUACUUCCAAAAGAUCCAUGAUUAAAGGGAAGUAGUAACUGUUCCCAACAUUCCCCACUGCCAUUCUGAACGUCCUCUAUAACAAGCAAAUAUCUCGUGCCUGUUAUUCUUUGAUGCAGCUGUUGUUGGAGUAGAUUCAAGUCCUCUCCUUUUGCUAAAGAAUAACCUAACCUACUAAUUAUUUCUUUGGUAAUUCGAACAGCAUCAAAAAAUUCUGAAACAUAGACCCAAGCUUUAUGUUCAAAAUGCUCUUUAAUUCUAUCGUCGUUAUACACAAGCUCAGCAAGGGUGGUCUUACCCAUCCCACCAGAACCCACUAUGGUGAUUACGGGUGUCCGGUUGCUACCGUCAUUAUCUGAAAGUAAAAACUUUAUGAUUUCCUCUUCCUCAACAUCUCUACCACAUAGGUCCGAUUUGUUCCCCAGAGAUGAAGUCGGCAGUUCUUUUGAGGAUUUCCAGCUGAUGACACCUUCAUUACUAGCACAAAGACUUUCUUUCAAUCCCAACAUUAGCUUUUGAUUCACAAGAAGUUCUAGCAUCUCUAUCAAUUCUUUGAUCCUAGAUUCAAAUGUUGUGUUGGUAACAGGUUCAGAUUCAUCUUUCAGCUUAUUCAGUUGUGCGUCAGUAGCAAUCUCAUCGAAAAUUUGGUCUGCCUCAUAUACAGCAUGUUUAAGAUCAUCAAGCCACUUCUUUACAUAUGUGCUUUUGUACUGCAUUUGUUCUGCUUCUUCCAGCACUUGAUUUAUAGAAUUAAGUGUAAUGCCAAGUUUGUCUGCCAGGCCAACGUCAAGUUUGUAUCUACUGAAGUUGUCCCGGAAAUCACCUGAAGCCAACCUCUCGAGAAUCAUUUCAACAAAAGACGAAAUAAAUGCACCAGCAACCGUCGCUGCCAUGAUGCUGUCCACAAACAAAGGAUCUCGGAUCUGAGCGUGAUGCACAAGCCGUAGGCGUAGAGCUUCUUGCAAGAUGGUAAUAUGUUCUUCUGUCAAUUGAAAUAAUUAAACAGAAAUUACAUAUAAACAAAAUGGGGAGAUCAAUAUCAAACUAGCUCUAAAAAAUUCAAGACAUGGACAGUGAAUUCAAUAGUAUAAACAAAUUAUUUUAAAUUGAAAUUUAUAUUUAAAAUUUAAUUAAUAUGGUAUGUUACAAUCAGUGGACAACAAUUGUUAGAAUUUUUUUAUAACUAUAUUAAAGGUAGUUUGGUCAUUUUAGACUUUAGAAAUUAUAUUCUCUAUUUUUUGUUUUUGUAAUGCUAGGACUUCGUAUUUGGUAGGAGCUAUAGCCUUCUCAUUCUUAUAUUCUUAUUUUCUAUAUCUCUCUUAGCAUGUAUCAAAAAGUAAAUAUCUAAAUACUAAAGGUUGGCAAAACUCUCAUUUAAAUAUAGUUAUAACAAAACUACGUUUAGUCUAGCGGAAAGGACUAGUCUUUCAGAAAGUGGUAAACCAAUAUUCGAAUCCUAUCCAGAAGAGGACCCGUAUUUAUUGUCUGACACAUCUAGAAUAUAAUCACCUUCCGUUGGAGCAACAUAUGGCUAACAAAAAAAAGUAUUUAAAACAAAACUCUCUAACUAACAACUCCAUAACAUAUUGUCACUUGGGUUGGUUGGUGAUGUUGGUUUGGGUUAGUUCGGCUUCUUAAAAAACAAAAACAUAAUGUCUAACAAUUAACUAAAUGAUUUGACUAAAGUGGUUAAUUUGCCAUUGUUAAUGAUAGAUUAUUUGAAAGACCCCGAGUUUAAAUCCUAACUGAAACAAUCCUUAGUCAAGUUUUACUUAUCUCACAACCGAAUUUCAGAUUACUAUGAUCUCUUCCUCUAGGAGGCGGAGGGAGGGCUAAGAAAGAAAAUUCAUACAAACAAUCCAGGCAAUUGAACACAAUCAAGGAUUUCAUAUACUAUUAAAAUAACUUUAGUGUAAUUUUAACAUAUUUUCAAGUGCUUAAAGAACGGAAAAGCAUGAAAAUACCUGAACAAAGUGAGUGAGGGAUCUUCCAAAGGAAAAAGAGUAGAAACUAGUUUCAGGUAUAAUUUGAAGGCAGCACAAAAUAUUUGGAACAAAGGAAUGGAAGAAGGUUGUUGAUCAAGAGAAAUAGAGCAAAAAACACUUGUUUGUAUCAAAAUCCAACACGACUCUGUAUUGUCAGUCUAAUGGAACACACAUUGGAUAUAAAAUACUUUUCAACCAUCUAAUAGGAGCCGUUGGAUAUGACAUACUUUUCAAACAUCUAACAGGAGCCCUUGGAUAUCACACAUUUGAAAAAUAGAAACUUUGUUAUAUUAAUAAUUAAAUUGAUGAUUAAUAUUAUAUACACAUGCCCUAUAAAGAGAGCUUAUUUUAUUUUUAUUUGUCAAAAUUAUUUAAUUGUGGUAUAUGCCAAAAAAAAAUAUAUAUAAUCAGUUCCAAUAAAAUAGAUAUAGUCACAUAAUCAGUUGCAAAAAAGCACUAUAUAAUUACGUGCAAUAAAAAAUGGAUGUGCCCGUCUUUCUGCUAGUGUUUGAUUAAUGGCAAUUCAGCUUGAAUUUGCAUUUCUAACUAGGGAUCAUGAUAGAAAUGCUUCUACUCUUCCAAUGAUAUAAACAAAGCAGUAACCAUCAUUUUGAGUUAAUAAUUCAUAACUAUUAAUAAUAUGCAAGGAUACAAGGAUUUUACAAACAUCAAUAAAAUAAAACCUGCCAUAUCAAACCCCAUCCAUAAUGUUGUCUAUAGCUUUAUAAAGAAUGGAAGCAACAUUGGCAUCAGAUUCAGCAGUAGUAAUAACAGUACUGGUUUUUCCGAUCUCUAUCAAAGCUUUGUAAGGUUCCUCUGUAUGAACUAGACAAACAUUUUGCGAUUCAACAUCAUCCUUAAUAAGUUCCAUGGAUGCAUUAAUUCCCAUCUUCGAUAAUUCAGGUAUAAGCUUAUGGUAAUCUGUUAAACCACAACGUACCAAAGAACUAUUUCUUAAGGAAGUUUUUUUGUCAUUAUCCAAGAGCAAGUGGUGUCUACCAUUUUCCAUUAACAGCUUCCCCUUUAACUUUGUAACAUUAAUUCCUUCCUUUUUAAAGGUUUUCCAAUAAAACUGGGAAGCCAAAUCAGCUUCAAUUUUCAACUCUGAACUUUCCUUUUGACAAAAUACUUUUAAAGUUUCAGGUUCGGUACAAUACGAAACUGAGAAAGACUUUUCACAUGAGAAACUCAUCUUCAACUCUGAACUUUCCUUUUGACAAGGUACUUUUAAAGUUUCAGCUUCAGUAUAAUACGAAACUGAGAAAGACUUUUCACAUGAGAAACACAUCUUCAAUCUCAAAUCUUCAGGGAACUACAGAAUAAGAAAAUUAAAAAAAUAAAUAAAUACAGCACGUGUACAAUUAAAAACCAAUAAUGUAGUGUAAGUAAAAUAACAUUUGUACAAUUACCAGAAUAGUCUUUGGCUGCAGUGUCUUAAGCAAAGGUUGAAGUUUUUGCAACCUACAAAUAUGGAGAUCAAAAUACUUCAUUAUGUCAAAUUACUUCCUAUAUUCCUGAGGCUACUCAAUACUUCCAGUAACAUAGAGCCUAGAUCUUUUUCCAGAUUUAGAAAACUAUUUGCAAGAACAUACAUACAUUAUUGGGAAUAUAAGAAGUAACUAAGGUCCAAGGUCUAAGGGAAAGGAAAACCUACCCUAUUCCAGAGGGAAACAGACAUUGAAGAACCUUCAUUUCAACUGGCUUGAAAGGUAAGAGAGCUAGCUCAGGAUUGACCAUAUCCUACAUAAAGUAAACUCAUUGGUUAAUGCAAUUUCAACUUCAUCGAAAGGAUGAAUCUUGCAUGACCAAAAUUUGAAAGAUAGAUUGCUUAAAAGAAAUAAAAUCAAUAAAGGAAUAAAAUGACUCAGAUGAAGCAUUGUUUUGAGGAAUACAACACACCUCAAGGAUAAGCAAAGAUUUUGGAUCACCACACCAUCUUCGAAGCAGAUGGACAAUGGGACCCAUACGAAGACUCCAGUGAGGACAAAAUACAAUGCAGGGUUCUUGCCAAUCCUUUCUACAAGUACAAGCAACACGUCAGUGAGAAAAUAACAACAAAACUGUCAAGCAAAACCAUCUGUCAUUUAUAUAUUCUGAGGCUAUUAAUGAAUACUCAAACUCUUGGUAAGGAAAUACAAAUUUUCCCAAACAAAUAACAUUGUUAGAACACGAGAUUUUGCACUACAAGGUGCAAAAGGACACUAAAUUUGAUUAAUUAUUUCCAUAAUCAACGAUGGUUCUUUAUCAUAGAGAAGAGAAAGGGAAAACAAGAAGAAAAAAACUCUUACAAAAGUUGAUGUGAAUGAAUAUUGGGAACCACGCGAAUCUUUUUCUCUUUUAGGAGCUUGACAUGAUCAAACAACGGUUCCCCAGCAAAUAACUGCAGUACCAGUUAUGAUGUCAAAAGAUGGACCAAAUUCAUAAUUCAUUAAUUUGCUAAUUUUAGUAUGCAGCGCAAAGGACCAAUUUCGUAAUUUAAAAGGUGCGUACUCUUUCUUGCCGCUGUUUAGAAAGCCACUCUGGUAUGAUGUUAAGCAAUGCUAGUAACUCUUCCGCAACUGAAGAAAUUAUAUAGAUCGGAACCUACAAAUUGAAAGUUGAUGAAUACUUCAAAGUCAGCAAGCAGGAAUCUCAGAUUUUGCUACAAAAAUCCUUUUGUAAGUUAUGUUUAUUGACUCUAGUAUAGUUUUCUUGAUUUUGCUACAAAAAAUCAACAAUUUUCAACAAGGAAAAUUUACUACAUCUACAAAACAUAUUACUUAUAUUCCAUUAUAGUUUACUUGAUUUUGAUAAUAUCAUUAAUUUGCAGACAUAUCAAAACAAGAAAGGACACCUCCAUAGCUGAAGCUUCGAGUAAUGUUGCCAUUUCCUCCAAAAGCUGCAAAAUUGUUCCAAGUCGGUUAAUAGGAAUAAGAACUGAGCCACCAUCUUUGACGCACUCAAUAGCACAUGAGCAUAUGAAAACCAGUUUUUCCUUUUCAUCUAAAUUUACAUCGGAGUCGAGACUGAAUCCAUCCGAAUCUUCAAAACUGCAGUAAUAGUCAACACAAAAGUUAAUAUUAACAGAUGAAGAUUUCAAUCAAUUCAAGCUUAUGACAACUUGAAUUCUAGAGCAGCUAAAAGUGAAGUGUCUAGAUACAACUUAGAGUUUGUAGGCUAAUAAUAUUUCAAAAUAUCUUACCUUGGAGGUAAUAACUUAUCAGAAGUUGGAUCAGUGUAAUUAUCCCCAUCCUCGACAUCUUGUGCAUCAAUCAAGGAUGAGAAAUCUGAAUAAAUUAAUGUACUAGUCCUCUGUAGACUGCUGUAAUCAAAAGCCAUUGCAUGAGCAGAAAAGAAGCAAGAGCUUGAAAGAUAAGCAAUAUCGCCCUUUGGACCAUUUAGAGUCCAAUUAGAACUGCCUAUUUCUACGCCAGAGCUGAAUGCUUUUAUAACCAAUGUACCAUUGUAGCAAGCUUCCUGUGCAUAAUUAAGUGUGUUGAUCUUUUGUAUAGAAUCCUUCACAUCAGCUGCACUGAGAAAUUCCACACAUUACAACCUUUAUAACUAAGAUUCGUUAUUAUUUUCAAUGAAUAAAUGGACAGUACACAGCAAAAACAAUUACAUUACAUAACAUAAAAAGCAAUACGACCUUAACUACGUCUACACUACCAAAGACUAUUUAACACAAACAGAACUCCAAUAUUAUAUAUAUAUAUAUAUAUAUAAAAUCCCAAAAUGGGAGUUAAAUGCACCCAUCUCUAACCAGUAUUGAGAUGCAGUGAUUUUGUUAGAGUUUUUAGCAACAAACCUCCCAGCAAUAAAGAAGUAAACAGCAUUUGGAUGUGAAAAUUUUAUAAUUAGUAAACAGAACAUAAUAAUAAGAUAAAACCAGUGUCAAUGGAAUUAAUGGCAAAUCAAAUUUUAUAAGAUUGCACAUUUAUUUGUAAAUAGUCAAAUAAUCAUUCUAUCAAUUAGCAUAAUUAGCUGUAAAUGUAUAUAUGUCAGUUUAGCUAAUUUAUUGGGUUGAAAGUCAACUUGAAAGCUUGUAAUUGCAUUGUAUUUAUAUGAGAAAUCAGAAUGAAGAGGGACACAGUUUUGACCCUCAUUUCUCUUAGUCUCUCUGAGUUUAAACAUCCCUCAUUUCUUAGUUUCUUUGAGUCUAACAUGGUAUCAGCCUAGGUUACAAUCCAAGAACCUAGUCUGUGUCUCGGUUAUUCGUUUCCCAGUCCAGAUUAACCUCUCAUUCUUGUUCAAUACCUAUUUUCAUAGUCACAUGUCUACCGAAAAGCAUGAAAUCUUGGUGGUUCGCCUUAAUGGCAAAAACUACUCAACUUGGGCAUUCCAUUUCGAGAUAUUUGUCACGGGAAAAGAUUUGUGGGGUCAUGUUGAUGGCAGCACUCCAGUUCCUGACAAAGAGAAAGAUAAGGUUACACAUGCCAAAUGGGUAGUGAAAGAUGCUCAAGUCAUGUCCUGGGUCCUAGGUUCUGUUGAUCCAAACAUUGUCCUGAAUCUCCGACCUUACAAAACAGCAGCCACAAUGUGGGACUACUUGAAGAAAGUCUACAAUCAGAACAACGCCGCUCGAAGAUUCCAGCUUGAACACGACAUAGCCUUAUUUAAACAGGAUAGUCUCUCCAUCUCUGAAUUUUACUCUCAAUUCAUGAAUCUUUGGGCUGAAUAUACUGAGAUAGUUUAUGCAGACUUAACUUCUGAAGGUUUAAGUUCUGUACAAUCUGUUCAUGAAACUACCAAGCGAGAUCAAUUUCUUAUGAAAUUGAGAUCUGAAUUUGAAGGUAUUCGGUCCAAUCUCAUGCAUAGAAACCCUGUACCAUCAUUGGAUGCAUGUUUCAAUGAUAUGUUACGUGAAGAACAACAUCUGCUGACACAGUCCAUCAUUGAAGAUCAAAAAGUGUCUACUGUUCCAGUGGCUUAUGUGGCACGAGGAAAGACAAGAAGUCAUGACAUGAGUGUUGUUCAAUGUUUCUGUUGCAAGAAAUUGGGACAUUAUGCUUCAAACUGUCCAGACAAAGUCUGCAACUACUGCAAAAAAGACGGACAUAUUCUGAAGGAAUGCCCAAUAAGGCCACCAAGGAGAAAUGUCACAGCCUUUACAACCUCGGUUGAUUCAUCUAUUCCUAGCAACUCGGUCAAUCCAGCACCGGUUCAGCAAAAUGCUCCUACUGCUUCAUCAUCAGUGACCCCUGAAAUGGUUCAACAAAUGAUCAUUUCUGCCUUCUCUGCUCUAGGAAUCUCAGGUAAAUCCUCUUCCUCAUGGUACUUUGAUUCGGGGGCUUCCAAUCACAUGACCAGCAAUGCCCAAUUUCUUACUAAUAUCAAAAAAUAUUUUGGAAAUCUCAAGAUACAUACUGCUGAUGGAAAUCAAUUACCUAUCACAGCCACCGGUGAUAUUUCUUCAUCUCUAACAAAUGUUUUUGUCUCUCCUGGUCUCACUAGUAAUCUCAUUUCGGUUGGCCAAUUAGUCGAGAAUGACUGUCAAGUACAGUUCUCACAAUCUGGUUGUUUUGUGCAGGAUCAACAAUCAGGGAAGAUAAUCGCGAAGGGGCCUAAAGUUGGACGUCUUUUCCCAAUCCAGUUUUCAUUACCUCAAAGUCUUUCUUUGCCUUUACUUUAUUGUAAUUCUGCUAUUGUUGAUCACCAAGUGUGGCAUAAGCGUCUUGGACAUCCAAACGCAAAUGUACUUCAUGAGUUGCUAAAAUCUAAUUUUCUUGGAAAUAAACACACUCCAUCACUUAAUUCUGUUCAUUUUGAUUGUAUUCCUUGUAAGCUUGGUAAAAGUAAAAUUUUGCCAUUUCCAACACAUCAGUCUAAUGUAACACAACCUUUUGAUAUAAUCCAUAGUGAUGUUUGGGGCGUGGCACCAGUUAUAUCUCAUUCUCAUUACAAAUAUUUUGUAACUUUUAUUGAUGAUUAUAGUCGUUUCACAUGGGUCUAUUUUCUGCGAUCAAAAGAUGAAGUCUUUUCCACUUUCAAAUUUUUUCAUGCUUAUGUUCAGACCCAAUUUUCAUCAAAGAUCAAAAUAUUUCGCUCCGACAAUGGGGGGAAUACAUGUCACACUCAUUUCAGGAAUUUUUGCAAUCUAAUGGCAUUAUAUCUCAAAGGUCAUGUCCCUCAACUCCACAACAAAAUGGGGUAGCGGAAAGAAAAAACCGUCAUUUGCUUGAUGUUGUUCGCACCGUUUUGUUAGAGUCUCAUGUGCCUUCACGGUUUUGGUGUGAAGCUCUUUCCACUGCUGUUCAUCUUAUAAACAGAAUGCCAUCUCCAUCAAUAGGUAAUGAAUCCCCUUUCACUCGGUUAUAUGGUCACCCACCAAAUUACUCCACUCUACGUGUCUUCGGUUGUGUGUGUUAUGUCCACCUUCCUCCAUAAGAACGCACUAAGCUCACCGCACAAUCUGUUGAAUGUGCUUUUCUUGGAUACUCUCCUAAUCAAAAGGGUUUUUUAUGUUAUGAUCCUAACCUUCGUAGGAUUCGAGUGUCUAGAAAUGUCAUAUUCCAAGAAAAUAAAUAUUUUUUUGCAUCACAUCAUGACCUUGUCUCUUCUCCAGUUUCUGUUUUACCAAUGUUUUCUAACUCUCAUUCAGAUCAACAAUCAUCUAAACCUCUCUUGACCUACAAAAGACGUAGUACGGCCACACAUGGGCCCCCUCAAGAUAAUUCCUUGGUUGCUGGUCCAGUAGAAGAACCAGAACCAGCUCCUCUACGACGCAGCUCACGCCAAAGCAAUCCCCCAGAAAGGUAUAUCAAUUGCAUGACAGCAACAUUAUCUUCUAUUCCUAUUCCUUCCUCUUAUAAACAGGUCAUGGAGAAUGAUUGUUGGCAGAAAGCUAUAGAAUCUGAACUUCUUGCCUUAGAAGAAAAUCAAACAUGGGAUAUAGUGCCAUGUCCCUCAUCUGUUAAACCUUUAGGCAGCAAGUUUGUGUUCUCUAUAAAGCUGCGCUCGGGGGGAUCUAUAGAUCGUUACAAGGCUCGUUUAGUUGUGCUUGGAAAUAAGCAAGAAUAUGGACUAGACUAUGAUGAGACGUUUGCUCCGGUUGCCAAGAUGACAACCGUGCGCACUAUUCUUGCUAUUGCUGCGUCACAAGCUUGGCCGUUACAUCAAAUGGAUGUCAAAAAUGCAUUUCUUCACGGUGACCUUCAGGAGGAAGUUUACAUCAAACUUCCUAAUGGUAUGCCUACACCUUCACCUAAUACUGUUUGCAAACUAAAACGAUCUUUGUAUGGAUUGAAACAGGCACCAAGAGUAUGGUUUGAAAAGUUUCGAUCGACACUAAUUGGUUUUGAAUUUAGUCAAAGUCAGUAUGAUCCAUCUCUUUUCCUACAAAGAACUCCUAAAGGCAUGGUGGUGCUGCUUGUUUACGUGGAUGACAUUGUUGUGACUGGUUCUGAUCAAGAUGCUAUUUCUAGGAUCAAAAAUCUGUUGCACUCAACUUUUCAUAUGAAAGAGUUGGGCCGUCUCACUUAUUUCUUGGGUUUAGAAGUGCAUUAUCAUCAUGAAGGUGUUUUUCUAAAUCAACAAAAGUAUAUUCAAGACUUGGUCCAGCUAGCUGGUCUCACAAAUGCAACCCUUGUUGACACUCCCAUGGAAGUUAAUGUUAAAUAUAGAAGAGAUGAAGGUGACCACCUUGAUGAUCCCACUCAAUAUCGCAAACUGGUGGGAAGUCUCAUCUAUGUAACUAUCACUCGCCCAGAUAUUUCUUUUGCUGUACACACAGUUAGUAAGUUCAUGCAAGCUCCACGACAUUUUCAUCUUUCAGCAGUACAACGGAUCAUUAGAUACCUCCUUGGCACCCCAAAGCGUGGUUUAUUUUUUCCUGUUGGUUCAUCAAUUAAACUCCAAGCAUAUAGUGAUGCCGAUUGGGCAGGCUGUCCAGACACAAGAAAAUCUACUACUGGCUGGUGUAUGUUCCUAGGAAAUGCUCCUAUUUCAUGGAAAUGUAAGAAACAAGAUUCAGUCUCAAAAUCAUCCACUGAAGCAGAAUACCGCGCAAUGUCUGCUGCUUGUUCUGAAAUAAUAUGGUUGCGUGGACUUCUAACAGAACUUGGAUUCUCUCAAGAACAACCGACUCCGCUGCAUGCUGACAACACUAGUGCCAUUCAGAUUGCAGCAAAUCCAGUUUACCAUGAACGGACGAAACACAUCGAGGUUGAUUGUCAUUCUAUUCGAGAAGCCUAUGAUCGAAGAAUCAUCAAUCUACCACAUGUCUCAACAUCUGUUCAAACAGCAGACAUUUUCACUAAAAGUUUGACACGUCAGCGGCACAAUUUUCUACUUGGCAAAUUGAUGCUUGUAGAUUUACCAGCAUCAAUUUGAGGGGGGAUGUCAAUGGAAUUAAUGGCAAAUCAAAUUUUAUAAGAUUGCACAUUUAUUUGUAAAUAGUCAAAUAAUCAUUCUAUCAAUUAGCAUAAUUAGCUGUAAAUGUAUAUAUGUCAGUUUAGCUAAUUUAUUGGGUUGAAAGUCAACUUGAAAGCUUGUAAUUGCAUUGUAUUUAUAUGAGAAAUCAGAAUGAAGAGGGACACAGUUUUGACCCUCAUUUCUCUUAGUCUCUCUGAGUUUAAACAUCCCUCAUUUCUUAGUUUCUUUGAGUCUAACAACCAGUGCAUGCAAGAGUGAAGCAUACUGCUUUUUGGAUGUAGAACAUUUAGACUAUUGUAAGUUUGUGACAAAAUGAAAAUUACAUGAAGGGUGUAUCACCUGUACAAGGGCAUCCAACCACCCAACUCCACUCCAUCUUUUCCUACCAAUAUCUCUUUCAAUACUGAAGGAAGUAUUUCAAGUUCUUCCUGUCUCAGCCAUGGGGGGAAAUUAGACUCCUCCGGUCCAUAAAACUGCCUAAAUUCCGCAUGCAUUGAUACAAGAUCCUCCAUCAUUAGCUGGCCUAUUCUUGCUGAUGCUUCAGUUACAUAGAUCUAACCAAUCAAUCAAAAAAUACUAAGCAAACAGUAUUUGAAAACAAAAAUGGGCACAUAGUUCAAUUAAUAAAGGAAAACUACCUUAGCUGAGAAACCCUUCUGUCGAGUAAGAUAGGGCAAUCCCAUAAUACCCAUUGGACUUGAGAUUAAUAUGACAUCAAUUAAAGAUGCAUUCCACAGAUGUAAUUUAUUAACAGUCUUAUACCAAGGUUCUGCAAAAACUAAGUUUUUAGCAUCAAGAAGAUCUUCAAUUUUCUGUCUCUUCUCAUUGUUCUUGCUUUCUUCAAAUGACAAGGCAUCCAAAGAAGUAGGUAUGGGGGGAGAAGGCCAUAAGAGAAGAAAGAUCAAGAGGGCAAUCGAAUAAGAUCCUAACCCCACAAAAAUUCAACAUGUGACAUGGUGGGAAGUGAAAGCCUCUUCCUUUGCUCAAACAUGUCUGCAAAAUGGCAAGGAAGAUAACAAAAAUUUAAAUCAUGAAGAUAAUUUUGUGUAAAAAAACAUAAACAGAAGAUUCCUUCAUAUGCCACUACAGGUAAAAAAAGAUAUAGGUACUCACAAGCUUCAUUGUUGAGGAUGAAAUGGAUAACCACUUGUAGCUUCCGGCAGAAGGUAUCAAUGGCUAUUGGAAAACAAGAAACAAAUUGCGUCAGUUUGCAUGAUCUUCAAUUUCCAGCCUUACAAUUGAGUUUAUCUAGUGAUAUAAGCACUUGUGAGAUUAUAUGGGAGAGUUUAAGGAAAAAACUUAUGAAAACGCUAUAAGUUGUUUUCAGCUUAUUUCCAUAAGCUCUCCAUAAUAUGCUAUAUAAAAAGCAUAUAGCUUAUAAUUUUAUAUGAAAUCAAUUUGAUAUUUUGCUGUAAAAAUAGCUAACACGUUAACACUAAUUUUUACCAUAAGAAUUUAAUUAAGUUAUUUAUCCUAAUACAUUCACCCUAAACUCGAUAUCUAAUUUAACAUUGUGUUCGCUUAUUGAGACAUUUCCUCAAACAGUGUGAGUGCUGAGUUUCACAAUCAAAAAAACAAAUUGAACCCCAAUACCAGUAUUUAUGAAAAACGAUAACUAUUUUAGUCAAAUUGAAACCUCGGUUUGCUCAGAGAGAAAAACGUGAGAAGAAGAGAGAGAAGUCUUACCUGUGGAACCGUCAACAAUGGUGGCGGCGAGUGAGGGAGAAGGCGAGAGGAGGUCGGUUGUUGUGAGAGAAUAGUAGUUUCGGAGAGUGUUUGAGAAUUUUUCUUCUGUCUGCGAAGAGAGAGAGUAGAAAUUGGUGGUGACUGGUUUUAAUUAUUAUUGUUUCUUUGUGAAAGUUUGCUCUUUCAAUUUGUUUAUUUUAUUAAAACCCAAAAGUACAACUAGGGUGGGCAUGGUUCUGUUAACCAUAAAAUCAAACCGAACCGAAUCAAAUUGCUGAAAUGGAUCGGAAAAAUUGAACGGAACCAUUUAAAGUUUGGAAGUAAUCAUACCGAACCAAAGCUAUGGUUCGGUUAACCAUUUGCUUACCUAUUAACCAAACCAAACCGAAUCAAAACAAUUUUUUUUUUUGAGGGAAAAACAAAUAUUUUUUAUCUAAUGAAUAAAACUACUUUUAUAAUUUACUAAAAAAAAUAACAAUAUAAUUAAAAGCUAGAAUAGUUUAUUUCUUCAAAACAACUUAUUACGAUCUUUUUCUUAAAAAACUAGCUUAUUCUAAACAAUUUAUUUUAUGCAAAACUUCUUAUUUUAAAAAACAGCUUAUUUUAAAAUUAGAAUUUUAAAAUAUUUUGAAGAUAAAUAUGCUGAAUAUUUGUUUAAAUUGUUUAAGUUGAAUAAACAUUCAAAUUUUGAAGAUAAAUAUGCUGAAUAUUUGUUUAAGUUGUUUUUUUGGCGGUGGUCGGAGGUUGAACCACGGACCUUGCAUAUUAUUAUGCAUUGUCAAUACCAACUAAGUUAAGUUUACGAGGACUUGUUUAAGUUGUUUAAACAUUCAAAUUAAAAUGUUUGAAAAUUCAAAAAUUCAAAAUAUUACUCAACAAAUGGGAGAAAUUUGAAUUUUUAAAUAUUUUGAAUUUUCAAACAUUUUUUAAACCUUGUAAUAAAUUAAAAAUGGUUAAGAGAAUUGUAUUUUAAACCACGAUUUGACAACAAUUUUAUUGGUGGUGGUCGGUGUUCGAAAUCCGGACCUUGCAUAUAUUUAUGGCAUAUAUUUAUGCAUUGUCCGUACCAACUGAGUUAAGCUCACGAUGAUAAGAUUUGACAACAAUAGUUUUAGGACAUGACACCUAAUCAAUUUUCCUAUUUGUAGUUCCAUAUUUAUUUAUACUAUAUUAUUAAGAAUUAAAAAUAACGUAAGGAUUAUGUCAAGAUUAAGAUUGUUCCUUAAAAAAACAAAAAUUAAGAUUAAGAUUGUGAACAUUAGACUAAUAUAUCUAUCCUCAUAAAUUUUAGCAAAUUUAUUCUUUUAAUGUGAUACUUUAAAUUUUAUAAAUUCACUCAACUUAAUAACAUUUUCCUAUUUGUAGUUCCAUAUUUAUUUAUACUAAAUUAUUAAGAAUUAAGAAUAAGAAUUAAAAAUAAGGCAAGGAUUAUGUUAAGAUUAAGAUUGUUCCUUAAAAAAACAAAAAUUAAGAUUAAGAAUAUUGUGAACAUUAGACUGCUAUAUAUCUAUCCUCAUAAAUUUUAGCAAAUUUAUUCUUUUAAUGUGAUACUUUAAAUUUUAUAAAUUCACUCAACUUAAUAACAAUAUUUUUUCUAAGGAAACUAAAUUAAUCCAUCCAAAUUAAAACUUAAUAACAAUACUAAUGUUAUUUAUUUCUCUACACACAUAAUGUGUGGCUUUUUUUUGGUAACACAUAAUGUAUGACUUUACCUCCAACUAUUAAUGAUAUUGAAAUCAUGUAACUUAUUAGAAAAUAAUAACAUCUAAAUUUACAUAGUAAAAA